CUUAACACGGUCUGGGCCAUACCAUGGGCUGCCAGAUGAGGCAGGCUUGGAGGCAGCCUUUCUCAUGGAGAUCCUUCCAUUUCCAGAGAUUUCUGAGGCAGAGGGUGAGAGUUUCACUGCCUGUCCAGCAAAAGAAGGGGAAGAAAGAGCCAUUGUAGAAGCUGCCAUGGCUUAUCAAGAGAAAAGUGAGUGUUUGAUGGUAUGAAAUAUUGUUGAAUUUGGCUGUGAUGAAACUGAAGUCAGCUGGGUUUCAGAAUAUAUAGCAAGUAAGAGGAAAAGGGUCCUUAUCUAGUGAUAUCUAUAUCUAUGAUCUCAUUGGGUAUCAAGAUUACUCUUCACUCACACUUGGCAGUCUUAAAUCCAUCAACUUUUCCAAGAUUUUUACAAGGGGGACCCAACCAAUGUUGUCCGCCCAUGUGUGGUUACAAGGAUUGCACUCUAUCUUGUGAACUUACAAUAUGAAUACGAUGCCUUCCCAUUGGACACCUAAGCUCGCCAGAUUUCUGUCCACCAGCAGGAUAAAAGACUCCUACUGUCUCUACAGCUAGCUCGUUCAAUGUAGGACCACACGAUAUUUUUCAUACAUCUAUUGUCCCUGGUUUUAGAGUUUAGUAUUUAGCUAAAUAAGAGAAGGGACAAAAUGAGAUUUAUUAUUAUUUGAAUUAUAAAUUAUGGGAAAUUAAAUUGCAUGCUUAAUUAUAGUUGCAAAAAAGCAAUGAGAUAAUUAACUGGUAACAUUUUGCUUCUUUACUAGUGAGUGAAAAAGGGAAAGAAAAUACAAUUAAAGAAAAUGGGAAGAACUCGGUGAUUAUAGUUGGCAUAAUUCUGGCUAUAGAUAAGAUUUUUUAAAACAUAGAUCCAUGUAUAUAUAUUUGUUAGUUUAUCUCAUGGUCAUGGAGAGGCAUUGUGUUCAACAGUUCAACUAUUUUCUGGCCAUGCUCAUGUAGUUAUUGCACUAAUCCACUACCAUAGGCUAGAAUUUUCAAGGCUUUGGCAUAAAAAUCUGCAGAGUUUUUCGAACGAGAAAUUAAGGUAAUUUAUGAGGCUGCAAACAAUAUCUGUUUGUUGUUAUUGUCCGUAUGUGCGCGUUUAUAUAGCUCAGAUAUUGUUCAUGUGUUUAAAGAAUGAAUAUAAGCUGAUCUGGUCUUCAAAUUCAAGUUUUAAGUUUUUAAUUAGUAAAAGCAAGCGGAUUCACGUGUAAAAUUUGGGGUUGUCCGUACACCUGUUUACUUCGUGAAAGUAUACUUAGUUCAAGUCCAACAAACCACAAAAUGAAUUAUGUUAUGAUUCUAGUUUAGUUUAUAUUUAUUAAGAUAUGGCGAAGCACGGAAGCAGUAUGUGGGCAACACUGCUUCGACAAACACGCAUUCGGCAUCCGCCUCUAGUGGUGCUAUCAUCUUCGAAUCCUGAAUUCACUUCAGACAAAGAUUCAUCCAUUAGCAUCUUUUUAGCUUUAUGACACCUGUCCUUUUAAUAGAGUUAGUAUAGAUUUAAUUAAAAUACCCUCUAAAGCAUGAUUAAGACACAAAAUUAUCACAACAACUAAAAUGUUGCUAGAUUUUUAAUCAGAUUGACAAAUAAAGGGAAGAGGAUUAAAAAUGCCUCUCUACUUUGAUAAGCUGAUUAAAUUUAUCUCUCUUUGUAUUAUUGGAUCAAAUAUAUUCCCGUUGUUAUAUUAUAGGAUAAAAUAUACCCUGUCAUUAGCAAAGUUAUCAAGAAUAUUUUUUUUUUAACAGUUCUCCACCAUGGCAAAGUGAGAGCCCCGUGUCAUCAAAUGGAUGCCACGAGAUAUGCCACCUUAACAUUUUUUUUUCCUUUUUCCUUUUAAAUUUUUUGCUUCAAAUUUUAUUAAUUAUUUUUAAAAAAAUGAUAAUUUAAAUACUCACAUAUUUUAUUUAUUUAAAAUAAAAUAACUGUAAUUAUUAAUAAAUGUUGCUAUCUCUCUUCACCAACAGAAGAGAACCACCACCAAAGGCGGCCGAAGGAAAGGAUGUUCCACAUAUCGAAAUGUAAAGAGCAAAAGCGGCAAAUUUAAAAAUUGAGGUGUUGGAAAAGGUGGUGGAUUUUGAAAAGUCCGACGAAGAGGUGUCGAAAUGGGGGUUAAGGUUUGCAAAAUGCUAAGAACAGUUAACACUGCCAUGAAUAUUUUACUACUAGUGAUAGUUAUUAGUCUUUAUUCGUGUGUGUUAAAUACUUACAUAUUUUAUUUGUUUUAAAAAUUUGAUAAAUUAAAUAACUAAGUAAAUAAAAUUUAAAGCAAAAAUUAAAAUGAAGAAAGAAAAACAUUUGAUGUUGUGGUGGCAUGCCACGUGAUAUACACCUCAUCUAAAUGUCAGGUCACAUGGCUCAUACUUUGUCAUGGUGGAGAAGUGUUAAAAAAAAAAUUAAUAACUUGAGAAAAUUAGGUGGGAAGUGACAAAAAAGUCGUUAAAUUAAAAAUGAUGAUAACUUUGACCAACUAAGGUUGAAGCUUCAUUUAAAUUCUGAUUAAGUUAAUUGGAGCGUAAUUUUUAAAAACUUUUUAAUUUUUUUAAAAGGGUAACUUACAUAAAUCCCUGAAUCUUUAAGUGAUAUUACAUAAAAUCUCGAUUAUUUUGCUAAUUACAUCUUAUCUCGAAUUUUUGAAAUGGUGAUACAUAUAUUAAGUGGUGAUACAUAUAAAAAAAGUGAUACAUAUGAAAUAGAUCAGUUCUUUAUUUAAGGAAGUAACGGAUUUUCUCUGAUUUCAACAAUGCAAAUCACGACAAAACUGUUACAAGCGCUAAAAACGCAAUUACAUUCAACAAGAGCUCAAAAUUGAAGCAAACCAAUAUUUUUUAAAGCAUACCGGAUUAUAAGGUCAAUUUUUUUGAAUUUUGGGGAAAAAAUCGAUCGUCUUUCUAAAAUUUCUGAUUAUUUUCAAUGGAACUCGUGACAGUGUUGUUGCGUCAUUCCGAAAAAUGAGUUUCAAAAAUAAGGUACGAUAACUAUCGAGUCAAUGGUAUUGUAAUUCAUGAAAAAAUAUCGUACCACGAUUUAAUGGACGUCAUAUCAAUUCAAUUGAAAAUUAACGUAUCUCUGAAAAGAAUUCAUGUCAAAUACGUUGUUCAGGACAAUUUAUCAGCAUUGGAGAUUCAUAAUGAUAUGGUUGUGAAACUUUUUUUCAGAUUUUAAAAGCUGAAACUAUAUUCGGGAAGUAUCCAUUGUGUAUUACAACGAGUGAUAUCGUAACUGACCAUGAUGAUUUUGACGCGGAUGAUAUGACAAUUGAGUGUUAUGAUUUUGUUGAGCCGUCUGAACUUGCAGUAGUUGUAAUUGGUAACGUUGAAUCCCUGCCAGUUGUGAAUAUGGGUGGUGAAGAACUAAUAAGUGAUUGCUACAACAGUGUUGUAAAGGUGAACUAAAAGUAUAAAAACAAAGCUACACUUGUCUUGGUAAUGCGUAACUAUGCAAUCAAGCACAGGUUCAAGUUCAAAGCUGAGAGAUCUAACAAGCAAAGGAUUGAUUUUAAUUUUUUAACGAUAAUUUCUGAUUUAUUUCGCAAUUUGAUACAUUCGGAAUUUGUAGUGAUACAUUUGCAUAAUAGUUAAUUGAUGAUUCAUAUAAUUGGUGAUUAACUAAUGAUUCAUUCCAUCUAAGGAUUCAUAUGUCAACGAAACUGGUGAUUAAUUGGUGAUUCAUAUAUCCGGUGAUUCAUAUAACUGGUUAUUCAUAUUAGUAAUGCAUAUAACCGGUGUUUCAUAUAAUUGGUGAUUCAAAUAACUGGUUCAUGUAAUUGGUGAUUCACAUUCGUGAUGCAUAUAAAUGGUGUUUCAUAUAAUUGGUGAUUCAUAUAACUGAUUUAUAUAACUGGUGAUUCAUAUAUGUGAUGAAUAUAACUUGUGAUUUAUAUUGGUGAUGCAUAUAAAUGGUGUUUCAUAUAACUGAUUCUUAUAACUGGUUAUUCAUAUUGGUGAUGCAUAUAACUGGUUAUUCACAUGUUAAAUGGCUUAAAUUUUGAUAUAACUGGUGAUUCAUAUGGUAUUUGCUGAUUCAUAUAAAAAUCGAUUAACGUAACUUUAUAUUGGUGAUAUAUUUUUUGGCAUUUAUUUCAGUUAUGUCUUGCUGUGCAAAUCUCCGGAAUGUUGUUGGUUAUUCAAGGCAUCCUAUAAGCUUAGUACUGAUACAUUCAUAGUACGUACGUUCAACGAUGAACACACUUGUCCCAUAAUGGGUAGAGUUUUUGAGCAACAACAUGUAACAAUUGCUUUUUUAGAGGGAAUAACAGCUCCAAAGUUGGUGAAUCACAAAAGAAUAAUCACCCCAAGUGACAUUAUUGAAGAUAUUAAAAGGGAACUUGCUUUGAACAUAGAUUACAUGAAGGCGUGGUGUGCUAAAGAACGUGCUUUAAGGAUAUUGAGAGGGCGACCAGCUGACGGAUAUAAGAAAAUGCCUACCUACGUAUACAUGUUAAAUUCUGUUUAUCCAAAUUCAAAUAUAAGGAUGCAUAAGUCUUCGGAUAAUUGAUUCAUGUAUUUAUUCGUAGCACUGCAUUCUUUUAUUAGGGGAUAUGGUUAUUGUAGGCUUGUUGUGGUAGUAGACGGUAGUCACAUGAAUGGACCAUAUAAGAAAACAUUCAUUUCAGCUAGCACACUUUAUGGAGCGGGUAUUGUACGUAGUGAUUCUUUUAUAUUUUUCUUACAGAUAUCGGUAAUUGUUAUAUAAAUUUUACAUAGUAAAUGGUUGAUGUUAUAUAUCAGGACAUAUAUUGCCCCUUGUGUGAGGGGUUGUAGAUUCUGAGAAUGAUUCAUCCUGGACGUGGUUUUUCCAGCAUUUUAAGUGUGCUUUCGAUGAGCGCGAUAAUAUGUGUGUUGUCUCUGAUAGACAUGAAAGCAUAAUCAAGGCGGUUAGUGUGGUCUAUUGCACGAAUUAUAGAAAGAGUAAGGACAAGCUGACCAGGGAGUUUUUCGCCAUGGCUAAAACGUACAAAUUGGAUGAUUUUGAUGACUUUAUGUGGAAAUUGGGAAAGAUUGACAAUAGAGUAAAGGUAUAUCUGAAAAAUGCUGGAUUUGAAAAGUGGUCACGAGUUCAUGCUCCAAUAAAUAGGGGGAGGAUGAUGACUUCCAACAUUGCAGAAUGUAUCAACUCUCGUCUUGUUGAGGUACAUGAAUUACCAAUUUUAGAUUUUCUUAAACAGGUCAGAAUCUUAUUUGAUAUGUGGAGCCGCAAAAAUAGAGACUGGUCUAGUUUUCUUGCUAAAAACUCAUUGGGAGGUAGGUUUCAACAAAUUCUUCAACUGAACAAGGCAAAGUCAUCGGGUAUGAUGGUAAGUUAUUUAAUAUUUAUUAUACUUAUGUAAGUUGAUUUGUAGACCUUUUCAACUAUCUGAUAACAGAUGUAUCAUAGUGAUACAUCUCGAACUCAUAUGUAUCACUUUGAUACAUCUGCACAAAUAUGCCUCCACUUGAAAUCUAGUUCAUUAUAUUUAAUUAUCUGUAAUAUUUAUGAUUCAUAUAAUAUAUUGAUUAACAUAACUCUUUAUGAAAUAAUAUUUUCAAAUUAGGGAAUCAACUAACUACAUAUACAGAGUGUAUGAAGAAGGAAGAAAAUACAUUGUUCGGUUGGAUAAUGGAACAUGCAAUUGCGGUAGAUUUCAGCUUGAUGAGAUACCAUGCAUGCACGCUAUUGCUUUUUUGAAAAGCAAACAUGUAAAGAAAAUGAAGUCAUACUGUUAUGAUUGCUACAAGAAGGAGACACUUGUGAAGACUUAUGAAAUGCCACUGUGUUCAAUGCCCGAUAAACGAGAUUGACAUGUACUACCGAAGGUGUUAGAAGAUGUGAUUUUGCCUCCAAAAUAUAAGCGCCAACCAGGAAGACCGAAGAAAGGAAGAAAAAAGAAAAACAGUGAAAAUUUUUCAUCAACCUUAAAUCGUUAUGGCAAGUGUGGGUAUGAGGGUCAUAAUAGACGCACUUGCAAUUUUUUUCAAUAGAGAUGUGGCAUUUUUCUUUGAAGUUUACUCAGACUUGUUUACUUUGUUCAAUGAUUUGAAUUCAAUAAUUUGAGUUAAAUACUCAAAAAUUUAUUGCUUGAGAUACUCUGUUUACAAUGGAUAGAGAAAUAUUUAUUUUAAGAUCACUAUUAAUAAUUAAUUAAAACUAUUAUAUUCAGCAGAUAUGUUAGAGUUCAUGAGGAAUGUUAGUGAUACAUUUCCUACAUGAAAUUAUAAAGUGAUACUUAUUAAAAAAUUUAAUAUUGUUAUAUGAUUCAUAUUAACUGUUCGAGAAAAUUAUAUGAUUUAUAUUAGUAAUUAAACUGAAUAGGUUAAUUGGUGAUAUAUUUUCAAAAUAUUGUUUUAAGUUGAUUCAGUAUUAAAAAUUUAAUACUUUUAUAGGACUUUUUAUUAACCGUUCGUUAAAGAUAUGUGGUUCAUAUUAUUAAUUAAGCUCAACAGGUUAAUUGGUGAUAUAUUUUCAACAUAUUUUUUUAAGUUGAUAUAUAUUAAAAAUUUUAAUACUGUUAUAUGAUUCAUAUUAACCGUUCGAGAAAAUUAUGUGAUUCAUAUUAGUAAUUAAAUUGAACAGAUUAAUUGGUGAUACAUUUUCGACAUGUUGUUUUCAGUUGAUUCAGUAUUAAAAGUUUUAAUACUGUUAUAUGAUUUAUAUUUACCGUUCGUCAAAGUAAUGUGCUUCAUAUUAGUGAUGCGUGAUUUAUUGUUAAGACUAUUAAACAAAAUUAAUGAUACAUUUUUGUAAAUUAAACUUCCAGCAACAGUUCUAAUACCACACCAGCUGUUAAAUAAAAUGUCAUGACACUAAAAACAAAAAUACUGAAAACUUAAUACAUAAAAUACGUCAUGAAAUAUCAAGAAAUCCCCAACCAUUUGUCAACUAAGAAAAAAAUCAAUAUCCUUUUGUCACACAACAAAUACUAGACAACUACGACUCAACAUCAAUCAUCUUUGUAUCCUCAUAUGGAAUAAAUAUACGUUUAGAUCCAGGCGAAUCCUGAUUGUCACUAACAUAUUUAUUGCAUGCCUGGUUCACACCAUAAUCCCAUAAAAAGGAUGUAUAUCUUGUAUGAUGCUUUUCUGGAUCAAAAUCUGAAGAAGGUAUUUGAUGUCGAUCACUUAGAUAUUCAGCAUAUGUUGCAACAAACAAGCCACAAUCACUGAAAAAUAAAAAUAAUAUGUAUUUUAUGAAUUUCUGUGAGCUGUUAUGUAAAAGAAUAAAUGAUACUUACAAUGUGCCGCUCGAUUGUUGCACAAUUUCAUCAACAAAUUGAACAUCAAAUGCAUCCUGGUCUGUCUUUUCCUUGUAUGCUUCUAGUAGGGACCAAUCUGUACGCUUUUUUUUCCCACAAAAAUCGGAUAUUGUCAAAUAAGUUGACAACAUUUCAACAAGCUCAUUUAUCUCAUCACCAUGACCUCUAUGGCCUUUCAAGGAGUCAUACACACGAAUGCAUCUUUCCUUGAGUCCUAUGACUGCCAACACCCAGUGAAACGAUCCCUUAGAAUUUAUUAGAACAUACACCUCGUCAAUCAAAUGCCAUGAAAUACUGAUUGGAAUGCAUAGUCCUUGAAUAAUCUCACAAAUUGAUCUCUCCAUCGAAGUCACUUUAUUUGAUCGAACAUUUUCGUCAUGUGAGCUAAGAUCAAUAUCCGAAUGACUUCGGUGAUAAUGAGUGUAUGUUUCAUGGAUGUAGUUUAUGAACAUGCAAUUCACAGUGGUAUAUCUAUAUUCACUGAUUUUGUCCAGUUUUGCUUUCUUUAUAAGAUAGUAAAAUACCAUAUCGAUGUGUUGUAAUAUAAAAUUAAAAUGUGUAAGAACAUGUGAUUCAUAAAAUCCAUACACAAUACUAAGUGUAAAACAAUUGAUACUUAUGAAUUUAAAAAACAUCGACUGAAAAAUACUUAAAAAUAUAAAUUUAUGUUGGUUAACAUCUGUAUCAUAAUGAUGCAUAUUAUUGUCAGAUAUAUCACUGUGAUGCAUGUGUUACCAGAAAAACUAUAUGCAGAUAGCAAAUAUCAAUUAGGUUGGGUAAUGUAAUAAUAUUCAGCUUGUGCUUAUAUAAAUAAAAUCAAUAAAACUAUUAAUUGCUAUAAAUAUUUCUUGACGGUAUACCUCAUCAUUCUAACAAUUACUUGAUUGGGUCAUGUCAUAAAACGAACUUUUUUUCACCGAGUGUACAACUAUAAAAUCAAGCUUUGAUUUUAGAUCAGCGUAUUAGGCCAUGUAGUACUCAUCUUGUCCUUUCAUGCAUUCAAAUUAUGAUUUCAAUAAGUGUUGAUACUAGUUUUUGUGUUGUACAGGCCAACUGACAUCCAAAGAGAGAACUUAGAGAAGACAUCUUCGGCAUAUGAUCCAUUAAUGUUGUGACCUUCAAACGGGUAGUUCAACUUUUUGCACGACUGGAUAACUUCUUUAUCUUUUGACACAGAAUCAAAAACACUUACAAAUGGUGAUUGAUAUAGUUUUGAAGGCUGUCUAUUUCUCUUAGAAGGUUUCUUUCUAACAUAUGUCAGAUUAGUCUUGCAGACAGGGACCUAAGAAAUAGCUGCAAUAGCUUUGUUGCUAAUAUAACACUGACUAUCAGUGUUGUCUUGCCGAUCGCAUGUGUCAAUAGCUGCAACAGUAAUAUCAGUGAUCCCUGUUAGAUAGGCAACAAUCGAUGGUGGUACGUACAAAGUAAUAGCUUUAGAUAAAUCUUCAUCUGUAUUGUGAAGGGCUUCUUCAGAAUCAUGUGUGCCAUAUGUAAAAAAUGAACUUAGUGUACAAUGAAGUUUAGAAUUAAAGUGCCUAAACUAUCUAUAUGUAUCAUAAUGAUACAUAUGGACAAAUAUGUAUCAUUCUGAUACAUCUGAAAAACUUAAAUAACAGAUAACCAAUUUUUGAUACUUGAAACUUCAAUCAUCUUUAAAUAAGAUUAAAAUAUUUUUACUGAAAAAUUAUUAUACCCUAGAAAAACUAAAAAUAAGGUUGUGACCAUUAUAAUGAACAACUUCAAUGUACCAAAUAAUUAAAAAUAAAUAUUUGUGAGAAAUUACAAAACAAAAUUCGUUAUAAAUAAAUCGAUAUUACCUUAACGCGUUUGUCCCUUAUGCCUUCAUCUACUUCCACAGUUGUAUUAUGCCUAUCUUCUUUUUGGACCUUUUCUGUUUAUUUUGUGGAAAUUUUGUCUUUUAAGAGUCACCACUUAAUUUAUUUGAAAAGAAAUUAAGAAAACCUUUGAAAGUUACUUAAACGAUCCAAAACAAAAAAAAAAAUCAUUUAAGUUUGAAGAUUCUGAGUAAGCGGUUCCUAUCUCUUGGAAGGUUGUUAAGGCAUCAAGAGUAUCCUCUAACUUGCGGUUAUCCAGACUAUUUGAAAAUAUCUUUUGACUAACUUCAAAAAGAAAGAUUGAUUGUUGAAAAGUAAUUGACUUUAGGAAAAGACUAGAGUAAAAUAGAUUUGGACGACUUAGCAGGGAUUUUAACUAAGUCUAAAUAAAUUAAUAACAAAACAUGUAAAAGGAAAAGGGGAGAAAAUAAAAGACUUAGGCCAUUGGGCCCAAAUCAAUAGAUCAUGUACUAAUCUAAUUGAGUUUUUGGCCCAUUUGCACCUGUCCUAAUCUAAAUAUUGGUCUUUUGGCCCACAACCUGUCCUAAGCUAGUUUUCAGACCUUUGAGGUCCAAAAUCCGCUUCACCUCUAUUUAUUUACAACUUUGGAUUCGAGACCCCGAAUAAAUGAAUAAGUAAAUGAUUAAAUGAAUAAAUAAAAAGAAGACAAUAAAAAUCGAGACUUUACAAGUCUCUUAGUGACCUCAUCAAUAGAUUUUGACUCAUUUCCCUUCUUCGUCUAUCUUCUAGCACCCGCACGCCAUAUAGUCGACCUAGGAUUUAAACUUCGAACUUGACUCGAAGAGGUGGGCCUCAUUGGUCCAUUACGAAAUGCAAGAGGAGAGAAGUCCAUUUAAACUCGAGAUAUUUUUUGCAUACAAAGAAAAGAUAAAGAAAUUAAUACACGUCCAAGGCAUAAAAGUGACAUAUUUCAAAGUAAAAGAUACUAUCAAGAACCAAUUUUUGAAUGACAAUGAUAAGCACACUUGCACAAGAAUGAGAGUCAACAAAUAAAAUGCGAAGAAAAGACACCCACUUACAUGCCUCAUGACUUAUGUUCAUAUAAAAAUGAAUAAAGGUAAAAAGAAGAAGAUCAUAUUCAAUGAAUUAAUGCGAGAACAAAUAACGCAAGUUUGCAAGAGUAAAGGGAUGGGGAGAUAAGAAAAAUACCCAUGACUUCUAAAAUUGAACAAACAUAGAAACUAAUUCAUAUAACAAAAGAAAAUAAAAGCUACUUUUCAAGAAAGUGAAUCUUUAAAUUUCAAUUAAGGAGAAAUUAACGAAAAUUAAUACAUCUAAGUCAUGGCCAACUUUAGGAAAAACAUGUAACGACAUAUGAUUUAUCGUUCUAAGACAUCGUUGAUUCUCUUUUGACAUUAUGACUCAAAGAGAGACAUGAAUCAAGUCUUUACACACACAAAGAACACGUAUAACAAUCCAAAGGGAGUAAGAAAAUUUGAAUAAAUGUUUAGCAUCUCUAAAAGUGAAAUAUCUUUCAACAAUCAUACUGUGCACGAGUCAAAAAUAUCCAAAUAAUUCUAUUUAGCCACAAAAAUUCAAACUUUCUCAUUAUUUUGACAAGACAACAAGCGAACAAAAGAGGAAUAAACAUCUUGGAUGGAAAAUAAAGCUAACACUUCAUCUCUUAUAUGAGGAUUUUGAAAUCCAUUAAAAUAAUUAGCAAGCAAAUGACAAAUUCUUGACUUAACUAAUUACUAUUUUUACGAAGGCAAAACAAACAAUAAUAACUAUUUUUUCAACAUAAAAGAAACAACUUUACAUGCUAAAACAAACAUAUCCGCCAACAAUAAAUUUAAAAAAGGCAUGAGUUCGUCUUUUGAGCAAAGAUCAAAACUUUAUACAUAACAAUCAAAGAAUAAAGAUAAAAGGCAAAACAAUCAAUAUUAACUAUUAUUUUCAACAUAAAAAAAAUAACUUUACAUGCUAAAAACAAACACAUCUACCAACAAUGAGUUUAAACAAGACAUGGGUAUGUUUUUUAAGCAAAGAUCUAAACUUUAUCCAAAAUAAUUAAAGAAUAAGAUCAAAAGGCAAAAUAAUCAAUAUUAACUAUUUUUUUCAACAUAAAGAAAAUAACUUUACAUGCUAAAAACAAACAUAUCCACCAACAAUGAAUUUAAACAAGACAUGAGUAUGUUUUUUAAACAAGGACCUAAACUUUAUCCAAAAUAUUUAAAGAAUAAGGUGAAAAGGCGAAGCAAUCAAUAUUAACCAUUCUUUUCAACAUAAAGAAAAUAAUUUUACAUGCUAAAAACAAACAUAUCCACUAACAAUGAGUUUAAACAAAGUAUAAGUACAUUUUUUAAGCAAAAAUUGAAACUUUAUCUAUAAUAAUUAAAGAAUAAAGUCAAAAAAAGGCACAUACAACUAUUGUUAGCUCUUUUUUAUAUCAUGAACAUGAAGAUAAUUAAAAUAUUGAUACCACAACCUUCAAGGCCAUAAACAACAAACAAUCCCAGCAAACAAAAUUAUAACUACGAACUAUGAAAAAGAUGAAGAAGAAAAUGAUACUAAAACUAAAAAAAAAAAAAAGGUGUGUUUACCUUUUUUGGGGCAAGAAAACGAGACUACGAGUUUCGUCGGAAUCAACCACCACCGAAAAACGUCACUGGUAACUCAAAAAUUUUGAUUAACCGACCAACUUUAUGAAAUAAGAAUUUUUACUAAAUAAAAAUAACUAUUUUGCCCAAAAGGAAUUUUUCACCUUUCUAGCCUCUUUUAUUUAACUUCUCCACCCCUCUUUUCUACCAAAGUAGUGAUAAUAUUUAUAGGGGAGAAUGGAUUUUUUCUUCCUUUUCUCCACCAAUGUGGGAGAAAAAUAUUUAUAGGAAAGGAUGAAGAUUUAUUUCUUGUCAUCCAUCAAUGUGGGAGAAAAGAUAUUUUGGGGUGUUUUUUUGGAAUUUUAAAAUUAAAGAUAAGAUGAGGUGGGAGAUAAUGUGGGGGGAAUUGUACCAUAUAGUACAAUUUUUGAAUUUCAAAAUUGUGAAAGGACAAAGUUGGGGGGAAAUAGUACAAUGUAGUACAAUUUACAAUUAAUUUUUGGUGGAAAUUGGGUAGAAGUUAUGAAAGUUUUUGGAAAUUUUAGGGUUAUUUAAAAUAUAACCCCAAUAGGGAUUUAAAAUUUAGCCAAAUUUAUUUAAUUUUGAUCAAAUUAAAAAUCAAUUGGCGCAUUGCAUUGCAAUUAUGAUCAAUUUUAUUUCAAUUAUGGACAAAUCUAAUAGAUUGGCUAAAUUAAAUUAAAAUUUGAUACGAAUUAAUACUUCUUUUAAUUCCGAGCUUCUUGAUUUAAUAAAAUCAAACACAUAUUUAUCCAAAUAAAUUAUUUUUGAGAAUAAAUUAUAUUUAAAUCAAGAUUUUAAUCCUUUGAAUUUAUUUCAAGACAAACCUUGAUUAAAAUCCGAUAUUUAUAAAAAUGGAUAUUUAAGUAAUAAAAUUAUAUAAUUUCGUGUAAUUGAAUACGAUAAUAUAUAAUCGCUACUUAAAAUGAUAAACUUAUCCAGAUAAAUAUUUUGAAAAGCUUUUUAUUCGGAUAAAAUAAAUAUUAUAAUUUUAUUUAAAAAAUUGAAGAAACUUGUAAUUAAACUUAGUUAUGGAGGACAAAAAUUAGGUGUCAACACUAUUUACGAACUCUCAGCCUCCUAUUUGACACAUGUCAAAUUUAAUUUUGUGUGACAUUUAAUUUAUGAUAUAAAUCGAUUUAAUUAUUUGUAUGUAUCAAAUUGAUAAAGGUUGAAACAAAUGUAUGAAAAUGAUUCAUUUUGAAAACAUAAGGAACACAUAACAAAUGUGUGUUACUGAAAAUCUUGAUUAAAUUGUCUAUAUGUAUCAAGGUGAUACAUAUGAUGUCUGAUGUAUCACGUGAUACAUAUGAGUAACUUAAUCAAUACAUAUACACCGAUAUAUUAACAGUUUCAACAUUUCAAAAAAUAACAUUUAAACUAUUUGAGGCUAGUAUUUUGAGCAAGUUGUAACAAAUCGAUCAUAUACUUAAGUCAAUUUAACUACCUUUAAGCAUUCCUCAGCUCCUCCUUCAUUGCCACCUACUUUAGAUGAUUGACCGACAUCAUGUACGACAUUGUCACUUUUAGCAUCCAUUUUGUGCUCAUUAAGAGAUUGAGGAGGAUCCCCUUCUCUAUCCGGGAUACCUUUUUUCACUUUCAUAUAGUGGAUAUUGAGCAACCUGCAAUAUCACAAAUUUGAAUAAUAUGAAAACAUAUUGAUAUUAAUGACAAAUUAUGAAUACCUUGCCAUAUGAAGCAAAACCUUUUUUCACAACUCCAAAAAAUCCUGUAUAAUGGUCCACCAUUAACUUUUGAAGAUCAUUGAAUUUCAUGUCAAUCUACAUUGUGAAUAACAUUUUGAAUUUCAUGUCAACUAAUUCUUGUUUCUUCAUAGGAGGGUGUGAAGAUGGACCAGCAUCAAACCUCAUCUUUUUGAGAAAAUCUACAUUUGGAGUAGUACUGAAAUCAUCAAAUUCAUCUCCAAAUUCAGUAGGAGCAGUCCUUUCAGAUUAUUGUUGUACAGAUACUGCCUGUGCUAUAUUUGCAUCAUGAUUUGUUGGACCAAACAUCAAAGGAUUGGGCAACUCAAGAUGGUUCAAUUCCUGUGGUGAUGGGGUUAGAUUCCUGUAUACAAGCUGCAACAAAAAUAACACACAGGAUCAAAAAUUAAAAGUACCUUAAAAAUUAAAAAUAGACAUACAAAAGUAUCACGGUAAAAAAAACACUAUCUUACUAAACAUAUCAUCCAUCAGAUCCUUGUAUCUAGGCUUAGGUUUAACCACCUUCCAAUUCACCAUCCUUGGGAUUAAAUUGUGAACAUGAAAGACAAGUGAUUCAUCAACUGUGGCACAACAUUCGUACCACCAAAUCUGAAGCGCGUAUGGCAUGCCACUUAGACGGUAAACUUUUGGACAUCAUUCAUCGAUCGACUAAUAGAAACCAUCAGUUUCUCAAGAGCCAUUUUUCCCUAUGGAAAAUGACUAGAACUUUCAUCAUCCACCAUGUGAAAGUCUCAGGCAGGGAUAUUGGUUUUAUCUAAUUGGGAGAACACAAAUGUGCGUAUGAAGUACAAUAUCCCAAUUUUUAUUGCAUCUUUCACAUUUUCCCCACUUGUUAUUCAAAGAAAGCUUGACCAACUCACCCUUUUUCACAUUUGCUGUCGAAUUUGAAAAAUAUUUUUUCUGUAGUCGACAUGGUGGAAGGUCUGAAUAAUUAAAAUCAUCUACGUUGCCGAUGCAUUUCAAUCCUGUAACGAUAGCAAACUUGUACAGUAAAAAUCAAAGAAUUGUAUUGUUGACCAACGCCCUUAGUUGAUCCUGAUAUGAGUGUUGGACCUCUAAGAUCAUCAAGAACCUUGCUAUCAAUCCUUGAAAGUUACAAUUAGGUAGGUUCAGAAAUGACCCAAAACAAGUACUUCUGAAAAUUCUGAUUUCUUCAUCCUUCAAAAUCACGUUAAGCAUAUCUACUACAUUAAUGUUAUGUGCACUACCAAUCCUUACGUUGUGGGAAGGUCAUUCUUUCACAAUCAAACUAACAUUCUGCCAACAGAAAAAAAAGAAGUUGAUUCAUAUGUCAAAUGAAUCACAUGUUUAUAAAUUACAACAACAAUAAAAUGAGAAUAGAAAGUGUUAUCACAUAUGUAUCACAAAAAAAAUGAUACACAGAGAAUCGCUCUUAUUCUAUAUGAAAAAUGUGUAGCUGUAACGCCAAUAUGAAUCACCAGCACAAUAUAUGUAUCACCAAUUAAAAUAUCAUUUUAGUGUAACACCCAUAUGAAUCACCAGCACAAUAUAUGUAUCACCAAUUAAAAUAUUAUUUUAGUGUAACACCCAUAUGAAUCACCAGAACAGUAUAUGUAUCACCAAUUAAAAUAUCAUUUUAGUGUAACACCCAUAUGAAUCACCAAAAAAAUACGAAUCACCAAUAUGAAGUUAGACUGUUAAUCUGUUAUUAUAUGAAUCACCAAUAUGAAUCACAAGGUAUUUGAAUCACUAGUUAUGAAUCACUUGCGAUAACAAUACUUGCUCCGACGGAGAUUUGGGGAUAUGUUCAAUUUCAUCCUGAUGUUUCAUUUGUUUGUCGGAAUCUCGAUUUUUAGCAACAAAAGCUUCUAGGGUCAUUUCGCUGCUUUGAAUGAUUUUCACUAAAACCUAACUUGGUGUAAUUAAAUUUGCCCGAAGUAAAGCCCAGAACUUGAUUACUAUCAUGAACACCUUUUUGUGUUUCAAUUUGUGAAAUUCCCAAACUGAAUGAGGGUAAAUCUUCAUUAGCUAUUGAAGAUUCAACAAAUUAACACAAAGAAAUUUAAAGAAUAUAUAGAUAUUGACUUCUCUUGUUAAAAACUAACUUAAAACCCACAUAAACAAAAAAUUAACCUCUUUGAAGUAAUUGACAAAUUUUAAAAUUUAAUGCUGAAAGAUUACGUUUAAUUAGUUGAAGUAGUGGAGAAAGAAGUUGACUCAAAAUAUGCUAAAAUGAGAGAGAUUUAAUGGGAGUAAUUUGUGGAAAAAAAGAAGAAGAAGAUGCGUAUAAAGAUGAGAGAGAAAGACGUUAAUGGAGGAGAGAAAAUAGAGUGUGAAAGUUAAAGCAAAUGUAUCACCAUAAAUAUGCAAAAAAGGAUUUUAUGUAAUUUUUAAAAUAUUAAGGGAUAUUUGAUAAUAUGGUGCCUUAAGUUUGGAGUUUUUGUAAUUUAUCCUUUUUAAAAAGUCCUCAACUCCAAAUUUCAAAUUUUAGAAUUUCCCCCUUUUUCUUAUCUUUCAAUCUUUCUUAAUUUUUUUUCUUUCUAUCUCCAAAUUUCUUUAUCCCCAUCUUCUUCUUCUUAUUUUUUUUUCUCUCUAGAUUUUCCUCUUCUUUCAUCUUCUCUUCUUUUUUUUCUUUCUCUUUUCAUUUCAUUCUUCUUCCUUUUUAAAUUUUCAUGGAUAUUUUUUAAAAAAACAAUUGAGAAGUUUGAAAAGAAUUUUUUUGAUUUCUUUUAAAAAUAAAUAAAGAAAUAGUUUAGCAAAUUCAGCAACUACCAUAGUUGCUACAACAGUUACGGUAAUUGCUGCAACAACUACUAUUAGUUGUUGUGUUACAACAAUUAUCGAAAUUGCUGCAGCAACUUCAAUACUUAAUUUCUGAAAAAAGAUGUGGUUGGAGGAUGAGCUCACAAAAAAGUGAUAUUUUUGAUAAAAAGGAAGGUGAUGGUGCUGAUGGUGGUGAUGUCGAAUGAGAAGAUGACAUUUGUUAUGGUGUUGAUAGCGAUGGUGGUGAAGGAGAAAGAAGAAAAAUAGGCGAUAGUUAUGUAGAGGGAGAAGAUAAUGGUGAAUCUGAAAGAGGUGACAAUGGUAGUAAUAGUGAUAGUGGAGGAAGAGGAGGCAGCGGCGACAACAAAAAGGGUGUGGAAGAGGAUUGAUGGUGAUGGUGUAGGGAUCUUUGUGUAAAUAUAAUAUAGGGAUCUUUGUGGAAAUAAUAAAACUUGAGGAUUUUAAAAUUAAUGUUAUUAAUACUAAUCUUAAAAUUAUCACCUCUACUCACUCAAUAUUUAAGACUUGUGUCACUCUUUUUAGUUUUGAAAUUUAUUUGUCACCCUUAAUUAAUUUGCCUUAAUAACUUUACUAAUAUGGAUAUAUUUGGCCCAAUAAUUUAACUAGGUGUAAAUUUAGUUAAUUUAUCAAAAUAUUGGUUAUUUUUGACGAAGUUAUUCAUUCAAGAUAUACACGAAGGAAGAACAACAAAAACGGAAGAUCAAAUCAUUUACUAGUCGAUGAGCAAAUUUUCUCCAGGGAAUUAGUGGCACCAUUAAAACAGGUUCUUCUUCUUCCUUCUUACACCAUUUUUUUGUUGCUAUAAACUGUGAAUCUUGUAGUGGAAAAUUUGAUGGACAUGUUUCUAUUAACCUGUUGACAUAAACAUAUGUAACCAACAAUAUUCGUAGCCGACAAAAAUAUCUCCACAGGCGACAAUAUUAUGAAUAAACAGUAACUUUAUUUUGCUUGAUACACUUUGUAUAUAAUAGUAUUCAAUUUGGUAAUUGAAUUUUUGUCACACCAAGGCUGUAACCUAGCUGUAGAUGUUGGAAUUUGUUUGUCCAAUAGUUAUUUUAUUUUAUAUUUUGCGAAAAUCUAGUGACAGCUUGCUGUUAUGAAUUGUUAUGCUGAUCAUUUCUCAUUUGAUCUGAGAGUUUGGUGUAGUAUUGUUUCAUGACGCAUUCAUAGAGGAGAUCAUUUUUAUCAUAAUCUGUAAUGACAGUAAUGUAGUUCAAUGUUAGCCUAGUAGAAGCAUGUUCAAGCUUCCUCUUCUCAAUCCCAAAUUCCUUUAACGUUUCAUGGAAGGUUUGAGCAGUUUUACGCUAAAACUAAUUGAUGUUCGAGAUGCUUAUUUCUUUUCUUUUUGGAACGAAAGUUUGAGUGUUUGAUUAAUACGUGGGUUUAAAAAAUGAAAAUUCAGGACUAGACAAUCAUUGGAAUACAUGAAAAAUCCACUCUAUUAUCAGCUCAUUCACAACCACCUUACAACGACAUCAAACUAUGAAAUUUUGAGAACAUUAUGAUAUUCACUUUCCAGGAACAAAGUUUGUGGCGUAGGCCCAGGCAUUGUUGUUUACUGGAUCUGCAAGGUGAUCAGCAAGGUUCUCCAAUGGGCCCUUACCGGUAACAAUUGCCUGAACAAAGAAUCCAAACAUAGAGAACAUAGCAAGUCUACCAUUCUUAAUCUCCUUUACCUUGAGCUCAGCAAAUGCCUCUGGAUCAUCAGCAAGACCUAAUGGGUCAAAGCUGCCACCAGGGUAGAGUGGGUCAACGACUUCACCAAGAGGCCCACCAGCAAUACGGUAUCCCUCAACGGCUCCCAUCAAGACAACUUGGCAAGCCCAGAUGGCCAAGAUGCUUUGUGCAUGGACCAAGCUUGGGUUGCCCAAGUAGUCAAGUCCACCCUCGCUGAAUAUCUGGGAUCCAGCCUUGAACCACACAGCCUCACCAAACUUGACACCGUUACGGGCCAAGAGCUCAGGGAAGACACAUCCAAGAGCACCAAGCAUAGCCCAUCUGCAGUGGAUCACCUCGAGUUCUCGGUUCUUGGCAAAGGUUUCGGGGUCUGCUGAAAGUCCAGCAGUGUCCCACCCGUAGUCACCAGGGAAUUCACCGGUCAAGUAGCUUGGGGCCUCACCGGAGAAUGGGCCCAGGUACUUAACACGGUCUGGGCCAUACCAUGGGCUGCCAGAUGAGGCAGGCUUGGAGACAGCCUUUCUCAUAGAGAUCCUUCCAUUUCCAGUGAUUUCUGAGGGAGAGGGUGAGAGUUUCACUGCCUGUCCAGCAAAAGAAGGGGAAGAAAGAGCCAUUGUAGAAGCUGCCAUGGCUUAUCAAGAGAAAAGUAAGUGUUUGAUGGUAUGAAAUAUUGUUGAAGCUGGUUGUCAUGAAGCUGAAGUUAGUUGGGUUUCAGAAUAUAUAGUAGUAAGUAGAGAGAAAGAAUCCUCUUAUCUAGUGAUGUCUAUAGCUAAAAUCUCAUUGGGUAUCAAGAUCCCAUGUAUAGCAAGUAAUGCACUCUUGGCAAUUCCAAUCCAUCAAUUUUCCAAGAUGUUCACUAAGGGGGACCCAACCAAUUUUGUCCUCCUAUAUGUGGCUGCAAGGCUUGAAAUCUAUUCUAUGAAUUCUCGAGCUUCAAUAUGAUAUCUUUUAUCCAUUGGGAAUUUCUCAAGAUUUUAUCCACCAUGACUAUAGCUCAUUCAGUGUAGAACUAUGGUUUGGCAUUUCACUAAGUAAAUUGAGGAAAAACUGAAAUUCACUUGUAUUAGAUUAUCAAUUACUGAUGUUUGUCAAAAGAUUAACCUGUAAUGGCUUAAUGAGCAAAGGUGGAUCAAGAUUUGAAUUUUAUGAGUUUUUAAUCUAGGACUAGACCUUAAGUAGUAUAUCCGUUGUCCCAAUUUGUGUGGCACAAUUGCAAUUUCGAGAGCCAACCAAGUUUUUCUUUGAUGGAAAUUUGUUUACAUGUCUUUUAAAUAUUUCAAGUUAUUAAUUAUUGUGAUUUAUAGUAGUACUUUUUAUUUUUAGAUAACCGUGGUAUCCAGUGUUUGCCACCUCCCACCAACAUGGGAUUUGAACCUAAGAUCACUAAGGUUCUCAACCCACUUCAUUGACCAUUAGCCCAUAACCUUGAGUGCAUUGUGAUUUAUAGUAUUGUUUACAUAGUUUCCAAGUACAUAGAUUUUAUUUCAAAAAAAUUAAAACUUUUGUGUCCAAAUUGACUGUCAAAGUUUAAAAGUUUGAAUUUCAAAAUUCUAAAACAGAGGGAGUAGUAAAUAGAUUCUGAAUUUGAUUACAUACAUAUUUAAUGAUUAUUGUAACACAUACAUUAUUUGGGCAAAAGCUAAUUGGUUCUGUCAAACAGUAUGCGGAAGACUACCUCUGUCCCUGUUAAUAAGUGAUAUGAUUGUAUUAGUAUUUUUAUAAUGUCAAUGCAUAGAACUUAAUUGCCUUUCUAGUAAGUGUCAUGUAUAGCUUACUUUUAUCUUCUUCUUACUAUGUCCUUUUGGCUCUGGUCAUUACUAUGUGCCAUGUUUCGAAGGAUGCCUGCCUCUGUUAAAUAAGCCGUCACACAGGCAUGCAAGGAAGGAAGGAAGAGUAUACAAGAAAUUUAUGAAUUUGUUCAAAUUAAAGAUGCUAAUUAAAUUAACGUACACGUAAACCUAAGUAUUAUGACCUGGAAACUCAUAUAGCAGUACUUGCUACAUUCAGACUACAAAACAUAUUGGUUUUCCCUUUUUAACUGAAAUGUCAUUGGUCUAGUAGUAAAAUAAUAUGAUGACCCUAUUUACUUUUGAAAGAAAAAUGAGGAAUCAUGUAAUAACAUCAUAUCGUUCAGCAUUAUUAUUUGCACUGAUUUUGAGUAUUGCUUCUUGAGAAUUAAUUGAAUUCCAUAAGUUUCUCCGGUCUGUAAAUUUAAGUUUUAAGCUUUUAACAGCUUUCUAGUUUUUCUAGUUACCAUAUCCCAAAUGCAGCUUCGGUCUUUUUGCUAUGCUCUUCUUUUUUUCCCUUUGGUAUGAAAAUUGAAAAUGGCAAUAUAUGAUUCAUGUCUUUGAAAAGUGAAACUCAGAACUACAUCAUCAUUGAGAUAUAACAAACAUUUAUUCUAUUGUCAACUCACUCACAACAACUUUACAAGGCCAUCAAGCAAUCAAAUUUUAAGAAUUAUAUUAUGAUAUUCAUUUUCCGGGAACGAAGUUUGUGGCAUAGGCCCAGGCGUUGUUGUUAACUGGAUCUGCUAGGUGGUCAGCAAGGUUCUCCAAUGGACCCUUUCCUGUAACAAUGGCCUGAACAAAGAAUCCAAACAUAGAGAACAUAGCAAGUCUACCGUUCUUAAUCUCCUUUACCUUGAGCUCAGCAAAUGCCUCUGGAUCAUCAGCAAGACCUAAUGGGUCAAAGCUGCCACCAGGGUACAGUGGGUCGACAACCUCACCUAGAGGCCCACCAGCAAUACGGUAUCCCUCAACAGCUCCCAUCAAGACAACUUGACAAGCCCAGAUAGCCAAAAUGCUUUGUGCAUGGACCAAGCUUGGGUUGCCCAAGUAAUCAAGUCCACCCUCGCUGAAUAUCUGGGAUCCAGCCUUGAACUACACAGCCUCACCAAACUUGACACCAUUACGGGCCAAGAGCUAGGGGAAGACACAUCCAAGAGCACCAAGCAUAGCCCAUCUGCAGUGGAUCACCUCAAGUUCACGGUUCUUGGCAAAGGUUUCUGGGUCUGCUGAAAGUCCAGCAGUGUCCCACCCGUAGUCACCGGGAAAUUCACCGGUCAAGUAGCUUGGAGACUCACCUGAGAAUGGGCCCAAGUACUUGACACAGUCUGGCCCAUACCAUGGGCUGCCAGAUGAGGCAGGCUUGGAAACAGCCUUUCUCAUAGAGAUCCUUCCAUUUCCAGUGAUUUCUGAGGCAGAGGGUGAGAGUUUCACUGCCUGUCCAGCAAAAGAAGGGGAAGAAAGUGCCAUUGUAGAACUUGCCAUGGCUUAUCAAGAGAAAAGUAAGUGUUUGAUGGUAUGAAUAUUGUUGAAGUUGGUUGUGAUGAAGCUGAAGUCAGUUGGGUUUCAGAAUAUAUAGCAAGUAAGAGGGAAAGAAUACUUAUCUAGUGAUAUCUAUAUCUAUGAUCUCAUUGGGUAUCAAGAUCCCAUGUACAACAAUUAAUGCACUCUUGGGAAUCUCCAAUCCUUCAAUUUUCCAGGAUGUUCACUAAGGGGACCCAACCAAUUUUGUCCUCCUAUAUGUGGCUGCAAGGCUUGAAAUCUAUUCUAUGAUUUCUUGAGCUUCAAUAUGAUAUCUCUUAUCCAUUGGGAAUUUCUCAAGAUUUUAUCCACCAGGACUAUAGUUCAUUCAGAGUAGAACUAUGGCGUAGCAUUUCACUAAAUAAAUUGAGGAAAAGCUGAAAUUCAUUUGUAUCAGAUUAUCAAUUACUGAUGUUUGUCAAAAGAUUAACCUGUAAUUGCUUAAUAAGCAAAGUGGAUCAAGCUUUGAACUUUAUGAGUUUUGAAAUGUAGGACUAGACCUUAAGCAGUAUAUCCUCCGUCCUAAUUUAUGUGGCACAAUUGAAUUUCGAGAGUCAACCAAGUUUUUGUUUGAUGGAAUUUCUUUAUAUGUGUUUUAAAUAUUUCAAGUUGUUAAUUAUUGUGAUUUAUAGUAGUACUUUUUAUUUUUAGAUAACCAUGGUGUCCGAUAUUCGCCACCUCCCACCAACAUGGGAUUUGAACCUAAAACUUCUGAGGUUCUCAACCCACUUCAUUGACCAUUAGACCUUGGGUUCAUUGUGAUUUAUAGUAUUGUUUAAUAGUUUCCAAGUACAUUGAUUUUAUUUCAAAAAGCUUAAAACUUUGGUGUCCAAAUUGAUGUUGACACCUAAUUUUUACCCCCCCACCCCCCAUAACUAAGUUUAAUUUCGAGUUCUUCGAUUCUUAAUAAGAUUACAACAUUUAUUUUAUUGAAUAAAGGAAAUUUUCAAAAAUAUUUAUUGGGGUAAUUUCGUCACUUUAAGUAGCAAUAACAUGUUAUCGUGCCCGACUAUAUGAAAUUAUAUGCUUUGGUUACUUAAAUGGCUAUUUUCUAUAAAAUAAUCAAAGUUUGUCUUGAAAUAAUUUCGAAUGGUUAAUCUUGGUCUAAACAUAAUUUAAUCUCAAAAAUAAUUUGUAUUUAAUCUCAAAAAUAAUUUGUUCAUAUAAAUAUUUGUUUAAAUUUUAUUAAAUCAAGAAGCUCAGAAUUAAAGGAAAUAUUAAUUGAUUUCGAAUUUUGAUUCAAUUCGGCCAACCUAUCAGCUUCGACCACAAUUGAAAUUAGAUUGGCCAUUAUUGCGAGCAAUUGGCCAAUUGAUUUUAAAUUUGGCCAAAAUUUGAAUAAAUCAGCCAAAUCCCUAAUUACAUAAUCCACCCAAUUAAAUCAAUAUUGUCUCAUUUUAUAAACUACAAAUAGCAGCCCACUUUCUUAAUUUAGCUUACUAGCCUUGCCAACCUAAUAGUUAAGAUCAGCCCUUUCCCCUUUCAGUUGGGCCGUUAGUCCAAAACUUUCAGAUGACCCAACAAUUUUCAAAUGACAGCAAACCCAACCCAUUUUCUCAGCAAUCUUUUUCUUUAAUUAUAUUGACCGCCCCAGCCCAACAACAACAUCCGAUUCAUAACCAGGCGCAAUUUCAGCAUCCCCACCAGCCUAUUUUCCUUUUUCCUAUUUUCCUUUUUUUUCUCAAGCAGGCCUAAAUCAACCACCUGUGACCCGAUCCAACCCAAUUCCCUUUACCCCCUUUAUGUUCUUUCUCUUCAAACCAAGGGAAAACCAAAAACAGCUGUAAUACUACAACACCACCACCUUCAUCGACAACACAAGCAACCAACAACGGCGAAAAACCCGAAUCCAUCAACCCGAUAACCCGACUCCACCAGCCCCAACCCUUUUGUUUGCUCUCCACAAGCAUAUCACGCGUUAGAAAGAUGAGAAAGGAAUCCAAGAAAAAAUCAGUCCCAAACCUUCUAGAACGAGCCUACGUGUCAUCCCCAAAGGUUCAAUCCCGUGUUUCUCGGAUAAGAUUGUACGAUUUCGUACAGAGUUGGAUGAUUUUCAUUGGUUCUUGGAAAGAGUCCGUUUUUCCUAAAUGGUAUUAGUCUACCUGUCGCAAAUUUCUCCAAAAAAAUCCAAAGUUGGUAUGUUUUGGGCUAAAAAAUGAGGUUGUGGGAGGAUGGGAUUCUGAAUUUCGAAUUUCUCUUUUUUUUUAAUCCCUAGAUUACCCCCAAUUCAUCCCAUAUAUAAGGAUCCAUCGGGUCACUGUGAUGGGGGGAUUUUUUUUUAGAUGGGACUCUCCUCUUUUUUUCUAGGUUCACAACUUUAGAGGUAAAGGGAUUCCAACUGGGAGGUUUGGAAAAUUUCGCAAAAGUAUCGAGGGUUUUGGGGUCGAAAAAUUUUAGGAAAAAAUUUCUUAAAUUAGGAAAUUGAUAGAGAGGGCUAAGUUCAGAAACCAAGGAGGAAGUUUCUAGAGAAAGGAAACAAAAUUUUUAAUAUAGGUGUCUUUGGUCGACGAUUACUUCGAGCUUUCGUGGUCACCGUGUUAAAAUUUCUAGUGGUGUUGCAAUCCUGUCGUCAGCUCAACAACCCAUUUUGCUGCUCUGAAACAGGUAAACGCGUCUUUUCCUUUGAGUUUGUUUUGCUUCUUCAUCUCAUCCUUCAUAGUUUUGUAAUUAUAGUGAUAGUGGGAUGGUUUGUUGUAGAUGGUUGUUAUGGCCAUAGGAUUUUCUUGAAAAGAUUGCCGUUAUGUUGGUCGUUGCAUAAAUGUCUACACUCCAAUCCUUCGCUCCACUUUCGAUUUCGUAUGUUUCGGUUCGAUCGUUUUGACUCACCAUAUUAUUUUCAUGCUGUUAGUUAGUUUCAAUCCAUUCUUAAUAGUAAUCAAUGUUGUCAUGGUGGUGUUUUUUUUUAGUAUAAAUGUUGCUGAUUUUUUCAGUUUAAAUAGUAUUACUUUCAAUCUAGAAUAUUGUUAUUUUCUGAGUCUAAGUAUUGUUGGGUUUCAACCCCAAAUAUUAUUGUGUUUUUUAGUCCAAGUAGUGCUGUUUUUAGGCCUGAUUAUUGCUGUUUUUUAGCCUAAAUAUCGCAGGUUUUUAGCCUGAAUGAUGUUUCGGAACUUAAAUAUUUUUCCCAGACCUUGAACAUCGUCGUUGAACUCUUUGGUUUUGUUUUGUUGCGUCAAACAUGUAAAAUUUUCUUAAGUAGCAUACAGUUGAGUCGGAUCUUAUUUGGUUGUCUUUAGAAUCGAUCAAUAACAUGUUGGUUGUUUUGUUUCGAUUUAAAUCGGUCUUCCUUUCGAAUUAUAGAUGACCAAAAUAGAUAAUGUGCUUCUUUCUUCUUGAAAAUGACGUUCAAAACUGUUUGUGCUUGAGGCGUUGAUUUAUUUUUGCUUUCCCCCUUUGUUAAAAAUAUGUCCAAUUCAUCUUUUUGUGUCGAUUAGAACAGUGGCUUGUCAAUAUCCUAUUCUUACGUUGGUCUGAUUUUCGCUCAUAGGCUUAAAACUCUUAAGGUUUUGCAAAGCUAUUAUGUAGAAAACAACGAUUCUAUUGUCUUUUGGAUACGAAUCUGCAUCCUCAAUAUUUCUUCCGAUAAAUUGUUUCGGAGUCUAUCGUUUUCUCUUUUUGUCUUUGUUAAUAUGUGUCAUUUGCUACUACUUGUUGAUUCUUUGUUUGUAAUACUUGUUUUUCGGUUAUCUUCUACCCUGUUUAAUUAUCUGGUUCAAUAUAUUAAUUUUUUUUAGCUUCAAGAAUCUUGUGAUGAACUAUCACUUGUUGGUCAUUGAUAUCAAAAUAAAUCAAGAUGUGUUCAAACCAAGCUAUAUAAUUGGUCUUUUCUCUUAAGUUUGUGCUUUCUGGUUGAUAAAUUUUAAGGUGAUAUUUCUAUGGGUGAAAUGAAUCAGGAGCUUUACAUGAUAUUUCUUUUAAUUAGAUCACACUAGUACUGUUUUAUUCAUGCACCAAAUGUAUUCUUUUCCAUGUCAUCACUUAUUUGUUAAGUAACCAACUUUCAAACAUAUAUUAAUUUUCUUACUUUUUACUUUGCAUGUGGAUACGUUUGAGUCCUAAACGGACUCCUUUUCACCUUUGCAUCCUCGCUAUGGGCCCUUGAGGCUCACCUCGUUGAACUAAGCCCAAAAGAAGGUCCAAAAGGCCAUCGUUUGGCGUAUGGAUACGAGAAGACGGGAGGAAAGGAAAUGGAUUAAAGCCCUACAUUUGAAGCGGCUAAGAGACAAAAGUCUCAUUUAUUAUUUCAUUCUAUUUAAUUAUUGUUGCUUUUUUUAUUUAUUUUAUUUGUUUGUUCAUUUUAUUUAUUCAUUCGGAUCACGAAGCCAAAGUUGUAAAUUUAAUACAGGUGGAGCGAGACUCGAGCUAAAGACUCGAAAAACAUAGAAUUAGGAUAGGUGCAAAUGGGUCGAAAUCCUAACUAGAUUAGGAUAGGGUCGACGGUUUGGGCUUAAAAGCCUAAAUCAUUACUUUCCCACUUUUUUCCUUUUUUCUUUUCAUUUACUUGUUUGCUUGUCUCUUUGCGAAGUUAGUUAAAUCCCUAACUAAGUCACUAAAAAAUUGAUUUUGAAAUUUUUUUUAUUUAAUCAACUAUUUUUCUAGCAAAUUGAUUUUCCGAAGUUAAUCAAAAGAAUGUUUUUAAACAGUCCGGAUAACCGCAAGUUAACGGACGUUUUAGGUGCCUAACACCUUCCUAAAAUGUUAAUAGGAACUGCUUACUCAGAAUCUAUUAACUUAAACGAUUUUCCUGUUUUGAAUUGUUUGAUGUAAUUCUCUAAAGGUUUCUUAAUUUCUUUUCAAAAUUAAGUGGCGACUCUCUUUCAAAAGUUAAAAUUUCCGCAAAAUAGAAAUGGCGACUCUGCUGGGGAUUUUUUGAACUAGGUUCUAACCAAAUGUUUGAUUUUGUCUUUUGAUUAAAUGUUUAUGUGUUUAUAUAUUUCAAUUCUAUAAAUAUUAAUUAUCGCAUCUCAUGGCAUAUCCCUGCAUUAUUUAAACUGUUUUGGGAUUUUGUGGAUGUUCGGCCCUUGUUGUUUAAUUUCAAAAUGUGUUGGAAAUACGAACAUCUUAUUUGCACGUGAGUCAUCUGAUGCUGUUCGUAUUUUCAAACUCAAGUUGUCCUUUUGAGAAUCAGUGUUCAAACCACUCUAGACACAGAGGAUAGAACGAAACCAAAAUCCUAUUUUAGGCAUGAGUGUAGGACGAUCCAGUACCCGAGUGGGGUAUUGGGCCCAUUGGAAAACCUACCCUACGUCUAUUGACCCCGAGUUAAUUACAGACGAAUCAUAUUUAUGUGUUGAAAAAAAUACAUGCUUGUCUAAUUCAAUCCAUUAUCCUUUGGGGUCUGGGGAAGGCUUAUCUUUGUCUGCUUUCAUGUAGGAUAUGGCUCAACUACAUUCCCACGAAAAGUUCAAGAUGGUUACUAAACCUGACGAUUUCUUGAAACUAUGGUGGGACCACAUGAGCGCAGGAGAGAAAAAGAUUGUUAGAACACACAUUGGGCAUCUUCCUUCUUUGAUCGAGAUGGACGCUUGGCCCGAAAUUAUCCAUGUACUAAUAACUUUUUGGGAUGAUCAGAAUAUAGUAUUUCGCUUUAGGGAUGUUGAAUUGACUCCUACCAUUGAAGAGGUAUUAUUUGUUACGAGAGUACAGAAAUGUGUUUUAAGAGAAGGGAGACACCUGAUAAGAACAUUUUAGUCCCGAUUGUGUGGGAUCGUCAAAAGAUCAAGGAGGUAUUUUUAACUAACGACGACACCUGGCUAGGAGAACGUGUGGAGAAAAUAUCACUUUUCGUGAGUUGUAUCGUCGGUUCGGGAGAUUCAAUGCUUUUCACAAAUUUGGGCAUAAAUAUGAGUCAGAAGCAAAAUGGAAAGAGUCGAGAGCCUUUGCAUUUGCGGUAGGCCUACUUUGAACCAUGGUGUUCCCACAAGGGGAAAAUGGCACAAUUCAUCCGAGGGUUGUCUCAGUGACCUAUGCACUCUUCUUUGGAAUGGAGUACAAUUAUAAAAAGGUAUUUCACAACUUAGAUCCUAUGAUUGUUGCCGACUUAUAUCGAACUUUGGGAAGGUGUCAAGUCGAUAAUCGUUUCUUUCAAGGCUGCAACCUUAUGUUACAAUGGUGGAUGAUGAUUCAUUUGGUGAAAAAUCCUAGAAUGACACAACCUGACCACAAAACAAGGUGGAAUCUGCUAGAAUCGCACGACAUGUGGUUGUUUUUACACAGGUUCAAAAGGGAAGCAUCUCAUGAAUUUUGGCUUAAGACUCUUGGAGAAUUAAGAGAUGACGAUGUCCAAUGGUCCCUUAACUAUCUUCAUUCAGGGAAAUACAUUAUUCAAGGGGGUGAGUGGCCUUUUCUAGUGCUUCCGGGUAUCAGGGGAACCUGUCCCUACAAUUCUGGUAGAGUUCUUAGGCAAUUUGAGAUCAAGAAGGAGAUGCCUCAAAUCGAUUCUAUGCUCAGAUUCUUCACCGAAUAUGAUGAAACCGAGCCCUCGCUCAAAGACUACAUGAUAAACGAAUUUAGAAGGAGAAGGUGGACGGAAGUCUCUUUCCAUAUAGGGUAUGUACCUGAAGUCAACGAUACUUACAAGGAGUGGGUAAAAAAGAGCCUCAGUGGUGCAUUAAUUUCGGGGCCAAACGUGCCCACUUGGGUCGUGGAUGUAGAAUUCGAGCAUCAGAUCCAACUCCACAGGCUUCAGGAUAAAUUUUAGAAAAAUGAAAUCGCGCACCGACAUCGCAUGUAGAAGAUGCUUUAACAAUACGUAUGUUGAGGGAAGAGUUGAAAAGAGCUAGGCAAGAGGCUGAUGAUGCUAGGCAGUGUUUAAUCGAUUUGGAUGAUAGCAUGGCCUCUCAACUCGAUAGUAUAGGGAAAAUGACUUACCACAGCAAGGCACAAUUAUACGGGAGUCAUCUGAUCAUCAAUAGGUAUCAAAUAGCACAGGAGGUGAACAAGGAAAAGAAGGCAAAGACAGACAAAGGAGCCUCCGUUAGCUAGUUUUUCUAUUUCCCCUGCGCGGGAACUUAUUUUCUUUCAUGUUAUUUCCCUUUUUUCCUAAAGAUUGUAUCCCUCUUUUCUUAUUUUUUUGAAGGCAUCUAUGCCCUUUUUCGUGUCUAUAUAAAUUAGGGGAUAAUGGAUUGACUUUAAGGAAGCAUAUAUUUUCUUCAAAAUCGUUAGGCCUGAACCCUUGGCUCAAAAAGGGUCACCCCAGUUAGGAUACGCAUUAUUAUAAUGUUUUGUGUGAUAUAAUUGUCUUAUGUUCUUAUGUGUGUUUAUUUGGAUCAACGGCAAGUUUAUUCGCUAUACUCCUAUGGAUGAAUUUGGCUAUGACUCAAAAAACUCUAUGUGAUUAUUUCUUGUCAAAUAUUUUGCAUUACUUAUCACAUACGGAAACUAACACAUCUGCCUUUGAGUUGUUUUACUUAACAGAUAGUAGAAACUACUCUGUGUUGAUAUAAGUUGGCAGAACAUCCCUACUUCACCCGGUCAAAAGCGCACAAAAUCCCAUCCUCUGACCAUCAUUUAAUAAUACUAGAAAUAAUGAAGAAAACGCAUUGACCAUCAGGGACAAUCUAAUAGUGGAACAGAAUGAGAUGAUUACGGAACUCGCAAGAAAGCUUGAAAUGCUUCAGGAGGAAAUAAAUUGUACUCGAGAUUUGGCUCACCUGGCCAUCACUGUUAAUGCUCCCGCUCCAGGAGGACACGGGACUCCACUCCAAAUACCUUCCCUUAGUACGCCUAUUCUCGGGGAUCAGCCAAAUAACAUAUCAUCCGUCUCUGCCCCUUCACUUGUCCAAAAUACCAAUCGCGAAAAUAACCCAGAUGCCUACCAUCCACAAAAUCCAUCUCUAACCCCACAAAACCCAUCUACGAAUCUAUUCCCAAAUCCCCAGAACACAUUUUCAAAUCAAGAAAAUUCAUUCCCAAAUCCACAGGAUUCACUUCCAAACCCGUAAAAUCCAUUAAAUCUAUUCCCGAAUCCACCAAAUUCGUUUCCAAAUCCGCAGAAUUCUCCUCCAAUUCCACCAAACCACUCGUAAAUUCCACAAAACCUUCCUAAAUUUUAAAACAUCAUCCCCACCUACCAAUAAACUUCCUUUCAUCUGCAAAAUCAAGCCUCCUUUCCAAAUCUCCCUCAUGCCAUCAUAUCCCCUGACAUCUAUAAUCCCCUACCUAAUUUUGAGAUGGACCAUUACUAAGAGAAGGAGAAAGAGUGGAUGAUCGAGGAUGAAAUUAGGUUGCUAGCUAUGAAUGAAGAGAUCAUGAGGAUCAAAGAAUCUCAUGAAGCGAGGGACCACGACGGUUUAGGGUAUGAUGACUUAUGUGUUCACUCUGGAGUAGAUCUACCAGAAGGGUACAAGGUCCCCAAGUUUGAAGUGUUUGAUGGUGCUGGGAAUCCAAUGGCCCAUCUGAGGAGGUACUGUAAGCAACUGGUAGGGAUCGAGAAAAAUGAGGUGUUAUUGAUGCGCCUAUUCAGCCGAAGUUUAAGCGGUGAAGCCUUAGAGUGGUUCAUGUAUCAGUAGCCAAAAAAAAUGGACUGGUUGGAAAGCAUUGGCUAAGGGUUUCCUCGAAAGGUUCUCAUUCAACAUUGAAAUUAUCCCGGACCGGUAUUCACUAGAUCGGAUCAAACAAAAGAGUGAUGAGAGUUUUCGAGACUAUGUUUUUCGUUGGAGGAAGGAAGCUGCCAAAGUUCAACCCUCCAUGUCUGAGGAAGAAAUGGUAUCCGUAUUCUCUCACGCUCAAGAAGGACAAUAUUAUACCAGGAUGGUGUCCGCUUCAGGGCAACUUUUGCAGAUUUGGUAAAAAUUGGGUAAUCACUGGAAGAAGGUAUUCGUACAGGAAAAAAUUGCCAAGACCCCAACAUCGUUCGAAACUGCUAUGUUCUCGAAGAAGAAAAAAGAGGAUGUAGGCACGGUUUCUGCUGAUUCUAUUGCAAAAACGAAAAAAAGGUUCAACUCUAGGAAUGUUUUCUCUUCUCCACCAUCACCAAACUUUCAGCAUGUAUUCUACACCCAACCCCAAUACCAAGCUUCACUUCCAAAUAUCCAACCUCAGUACCAAACUCCACUCCCAAAUAGUCAACCCCAGUACCAAGCUCCACUCCUAAAUGUCCAAUCCCAAUUCCAAGCUUCGCAGCCAAAUAUUUUUCCCUAAUGUCAAGUUCCACCGCUGAAUUAUCAUCCUAAUAUCCAAUCCACUCUUCCAAACAUCCGAAAAAACAUCCAAGCACCUCUAAAUUAUCAUUAAGUGCUUCCUCCUGCAAAUCAAAAUCAUUAUAACACUCCGCAUCCAAACAUCAAAAAUAAACCUCCCCAAAACUCCACGUUGCUUGCUGAAAGUCGCACCCAACUAUUUGAAAGAUUGAAGAAUAUCGGUCACUUGUAAUCGAUCCAGUUAAAUCUUGUCAAUCCCAACUCUCGAUUUUAUUAUCCUGAUCAAAAUUGUUCUUAUCAUUAAGGAGCAGCAGGGCACAGUACCGAGGACUGUUUUAUCUUGAAACAGAGGAUCCAAGAUCUGAUUGAUCAAAAGGUCAUCACGCUUCAGUCACCGACACCAAAUGUCAAUAGUAACCCAUUGUCUAAUCAUGGGGGAUCUACUAUUAACAUGAUUGAAAUGAAACGAGAAUGGGUGUCUGGCAAGACUAUUACUAAGAUGAAUUCAGAAGAGUGCAAAAGGGCGGAAGAGGUAGAAAAGAUAGAGAGAGUUGUGGCUACCUUAAGUGUCAACGAGAAAGCCCCAUUUAUAGUGAUGACGGCCCCUAUCCAAGUGUACACUCACCCGCCAAGGAAGGAAUUUAUUGUACAGACCGUUGUUGCCUAAGGGAUGAUGCAAUCGGGAUGAUGCUACAUCUCUAAAGAAUUGACCAACAAAAAAAAUUCACAGAAAAGGCCAACCACUAAAGGGGAGGAUGAGGAAUUUUGGAGGCGUAUGCAACCCAAAGAUUAUUCAAUUUUCAAACAUUUAGAGAAGACGCCGGCCCAAAUCUCCAUUUUGGCACUAUCAAUAAGUUCGCAAUACCACCGAUAAGCUUUAUCAAAGGUCUUGGAUGAAGCGUAUGUUCCCGUAGGAACGAGUGUUGAGAACAUGGUUGCGAUGAUAGAAAACAUUGUGGGGAAUCAUCGUAUAUCAUUCAGUGAUGAAAAGUUGCCUUUUGAAGGAGUGAUGCACAAUAAAGCCUUGCAUGUCACUGUCAUUUGCCAAGAUUAUGCGAUUAAUCAGGUAUUAAUAGAUGAUAGAUCUGGUGUGAAUAUUUGUCCCCUCUCCACGUUGGUUCAAAUGGGCUAUAAUUUGGGAAAAAUUCAUCAAAGCCACAUAAAUGUGAGAGCAUUCGAUGGAGGGCAGAGAGAUACCAUAGGAGAAAUUGAUUUGUACAUCCAAAUGGGACCUGCUGAGUUCAAAACUAAGUUUCAUGUUAUGGAUAUUCAUCCUAGCUACAACCUUCUCUUGGGAAGACCAUGGAUACAUGGUACAAAGGCCGUUUCAUCACCCCGUCAUCAACUAUUGAAAUUCAUUUGGGAGGAUCAUGAAGUAGUCAUCCAAGGGGAAGGAAGCCGAGCGGAUCGUCCCAAUGGUUAUGUGCCGGUAAUUGAAGAUGUUCCAAAGGGUAGUAGUUUCUAUACGGUUGAAAUUAUAAAUGCUGUGGAGAAGGAUCUGACGCUCAAAGGGACAAUGCCUUCUUUCUAUAAAAUAAUUGCGACGGUGAUGUUAAGAAAUAGAUUCGAGCCUGGUCGGGGUUUGGGUACGAAUCUACAAGGAAUUAUUGAGCCUAUUAUGAUCCCAGAGAAAGCCUUUAAAUAUGGGUUAGGAUAUCACCCUACCGAGAAGGAUAUGGUUGAGGAUAAGUUAGAGCAGAGUCUGUGUAGGCCCUUUUUGCUUUUAUACCAGUCAUUUCCUAUACGGGAGAUGUCGAAUGAUGAUGGUCUUGAGUAUGGGAUAGGAGAUUUGUUUGAGGGAUGCAAUGCUAUACCAGAAGAUUUCCCAAAGUCCGGCGGGGUGAAGAAGAUUGCGCCAGGGGAGGCCUUGAAAAACUGGACCUCCACUCCAACCCGUCGCCCAUCGUGGUAGAUGAAAGGGCAAUUCAGAAUAGUUUUAAAAUCAGUGAUGAUCUGGAAGAGGCCCCACGAUCCACACUUUAUAUCUCAAAACUUUAUUUUUAUAUUUUACUGCUUUCAAAAAGGCAUGGACUUGUAUUUGCACGAGUCAUGAGCCAUGGUUUUGUAAUUAUCUCGCAAAUUUCAUUGAAAAGGCCUUCAUUCAUUUAAAAAAAAAUUAUUAUUCCUGAAACAUUCCUAUUCGUAUAUUUUAUUAUUAUCUUAUUAUCAUCUAACUUGGUUUGUUUGUCCAUUACAGUAACAGUAACUUAAAAUCUGCCAAUGUCAUGUCAUAUCAAAGCUUAGACGAACAAAAUAAGGGGAAUGAUGAUGAUUGGAAGGACGGUGAUGAGGAACAAUUAGUUGAAGAUAUAGAGGAGUUUGAGAAUCGAGAAAAGCCUAACCUAGAGGAAACUAAAAUAGUCAACCUCGGAGAUCAAGAUGAAAUCAAAGAAAUAAGUGUCAACGUCCACUUGGCGGAAGCACAAAAGAGAGAGCUCAUUCACCUGUUACAGGAAUAUAUUGACGGUUUUGCUUGGUCCUAUGAUGAUAUGCCGAGAUUGAGCACCAAUAUUAUGUCGCGUAAGUUGCCAAUAAAUCCAGAGUUUGAUCCAGUCAAGCAAAAAAUACGGAAAUUCAAGCCAGAUUUAAGUCAAAGAUCAAGGAAGAAGUGACAAAACAAAUCCAGUCUAAGGUUGUGGAGGUCACAAAAUAUCCAACAUGGUUGGCCAACAUUGUCCCUGUGCCGAAGAAGGACGACAAUAUUCAAAUUUGUGUUGACUAUAGAGACUUGAAUAGAGCCAGUCCUAAAGAUAAUUUUUCGUUGCCCAAUAUCCACAUCCUCAUCGAUAACUGUGCAAAGCAUGAAAUUCAGUCAUUCGUUGAUUGUCUUGCCGGGUAUCAUCAGAUAUUAAUAGAUGAGAAAGAUGCAGAAAAGACGACUUUUAUUAAGCCCUGGGGUAUUUAUCAUUACAAGGUAAUGUCGUUUGGUCUCAAGAACGUGGGUACAACAUAUAUGAGGGCUAUGACGAUGAUUUUCCAUGAUAUGAUCCAUAAAUAGAUUGAGGUGUAUGUGGAUGAUGUAAUUAGCAAAUCCUGCGAGAGUUCAGAUCAUCUGACUCAUCUGGAGAAAUUCUUUAACAGAUUAAGAAAGUACAGUUUAAAGUUAAAUCUUGCUAAGUGUACUUUUGGUGUGCCAUCAGGGAAGUUACUGUUCAUAGUUAGCAGAAGAGGCAUCGAGUUAGACCCAUCCAAAAUCAGGACAAUCCAGGACUUGCCAUCGCCGAGGACUAAGAAGAAAGUUAUGAGUUUCAUGGGUCAUUUGAAUUACAUUAGUAGCUUCAUCGCUCAAUCGACAUUCAUAUGCGAUCCAAUUCUCAAGAUAUUGAAGAAAAAUUCAUUGAAUGAGUGGACAGAAGAAUGUCAGAGAGCUUUUGACCACAUCAAAGAAUAUCUAUCUGCACCACCGGUUUUGGUUCCACCAAGAGAAGGAAUUUCAUUAUUGCUUUACCUGUCAGUCCCAAAAAAUGCUUUUGGAUGUGUCCUCGAGCAACAUGAUGAGACCGGUAGAAAAGAGAAAGCCAUUUACUACUUGAGUAAAAAGUUUACGCCAUAUGAAGCCCGUUAUACUCUUGUAGAAAUGACAUGUUGUGCUUUGACUUGGGCUGCACAAAAGUUAAGGCAUUAUCUGUCUUCGUACACGACAUACAUCAUCUCGAGAAUGGAUUCAUUGAAGUAUAUAAUACAGAAGACUAUACCCACAGGAAAGCUAGCCAAGUGGCAAAUAUUGCUAAGCGAGUUUGACAUCAUGUAUGUAACUCAAAAUGCAAUCAAGGGGCAAGCUUUGGCAGAUAAUUUGGCAGAGAAUCCAGUUGAUGAUGAGUAUGAACCACUUCAAACUUACUUCCCAUAUGAGAAAAUUCUAUUUGUGGGAGAAGACAUUACAGAAAUUUACCCUGGAUGGAGGUUAUUCUUUGAUGGAGCGGUCAACUUCAAAGGUUCAGGAAUCGGAGCAGUGUUGGUCUCAGAAAUGGGUCAACAUUAUCCAGUAACUACUAAGUUGCAUUUCCCAUGCACCAACAACAUGGCCGAAUAUGAAGCUUGCAUCCUGGGUCUCAAAUUGGCACUUGAUAUGGGUGUUCGUGAAUUGCUAGUCAUCAGGGAUUUAGAUUUGCUGAUUCACCAGGUACGGGGAGAAUGGGCGGUAAAAAAUUCCAAGAUUACUCCUUAUGUUGAGCUGGUACAGGAAUUAUGUGGAAAAUUCAAAGAAGUUGAUUUCAGACAUAUCCCAAGAAUACAAAAUGAGUUUGUUGACGCUUUGGCCACUAUAUCCUCUAUAAUUUGGCACCCAGAUCAGAGUUAUAUUAAUCCUUUGGAAAUAAGCUUGAAGGAGCAACCUGCGCAUUGUGCACGUGUUGAAGAGAAGCCCGAUGGAAAGCCAUGGUACUAUGACAUUAAAAGGUAUUUAGAAUCUGGAAUAUAUCCUGAAGAGGCCAGCAACAACCAAAAGAAACAACCCAGCGUUUGGCAAAAAACUACUUUCCAAGUGGGGAAUUUCUUUUUAAGAGGACACCUGAUUUAGGAUUUUUAAGAUGCGUAGAUGCUGUGGAAGCCAAUAAAUUGAUAAAAGAAGUACACACAGGAGUUUGCGGACCCCACAUGAAUGGGUUUGUCCUUGCCAUAAAGAUCCUGAGAACCGGCUACUUCUGGAUAACUAUGGAGAAUGAUUUAGUAAGUAUGUGCAGAGAUGUCCAAAAUGCCAUACACAUAGAGAUUUGAUUCGAAUGCCUCCACACGAGCUUCAUGAAAUGAAUUCACUUUGGCCUUUCGUAGCUUGGGGCAUGGAUGUUAUCGGACCGAUAGAGCCAUCAGCAUCGAUAGGCAUAAAUUUAUUUUUGUUGCCAUUGACUACUUCACUAAGUGGGUCAAAGCUGCAUCAUAUAGAUUCGUCACUAAGAAAAUGGUUGCAGCUUUCGUUAGGAAUAACUUGAUUUGCCAAUUCGGAGUACUGUAAUCAAUCAUUACUGAUAAUGGGGCAAACUUGAACAGUCACUUGAUGAAAGAAAUUUAUGAUCAGUUCAAAAUUGUGCAUCGCAACUCUACCGCAUAUCGUCCACAGAUGAAUGGAGCCGUAGAAGCUGCCAAUAAGAACAUCAAGAAGAUCUUGAGAAAGAUGGUCAAAAUGAUAGAUCAUGUCAUGAGAUGUUACCUUAUGCUUUGCUAGGUAUCGCACAACAGUUCGAACCUCCAUCUGGUCAACUCUCUAUUUGUUGGUUUACGGGAAUGAAACUGUGAUACCUGUUGAGGUUGAAAUACCUUCCCUGAGGAUUAUUCAAGAGGCCGGACUAAGUAACAAAGAGUGGGUUCGCGCUCGUUGUGAACAACUCAUGUUGAUUGAUGAAAAGAGAAUGGUUGCCAUGUGUCAUGGUUAGUUAUAUCAGCACAAGAUGAUUCAUGCUUUCAACAAGAAAGUGAGAGCUCGAACAUUUGAAGUUGGGCAAUUAGUUCUCAAAUGCAUACUCCCUCACCAAGAAUAUUACAAGGGCAAGUUCGCUCCAAAUUGGCAAGGUCCAUACAUAGUUCGCAAGGUACUAUCUAGAGGGGCUCUGAUUUUUCUGAGAUGGAUGGCCAUGAGUGGACCAAACCAAUCAAUUUUGAUGUGGUGAAAAGAUACUAUGUUUGAAGGGCGUUCUAGUUUUAUGGUUCUUAGUUUAUCUGUAAUCGCCAUGUAAUAAUGUGUUUUAUGAUGUGUAAUUGCCUAGAACACUUUUCCCUUUAUGUACGAACUAUGUUUGACCUGAAUUCCCAAGAAAGGGAUACGUAUGCGGCCUAUGUCGGAUUCGGUCAACCUCUUAGAGAAUUUAUUCUUUCCCUUUAUGUAUGAACUACUUGAUGACCUGAAUUCCCAAGAAAGGGAUACGUAGGCGGCCUAUGUCGGCUUCGGUCAACCCAUUAAUUUGUUUUGUAUAUUCCUAGCGUAAUCCUAAACUACAUUUGACCUGAUUCCUACUUCAACGGGAUACGUAGGCGCCCCAACGGUUCGAUCAUAUAACCCCAAGAAAUGAAAACUGGGGCAGAAUUUUUGAGAAGGAAUCUCGAAAAUUCACAAGAGAAGAUCAACAUCCAACAAAGAGAACGAAGAUCAGCAAAGACUUUAGAUCCACUCAAGAUGAUAUCAUCUCAGACUACUUUAAACUGGGGCAGAAAUUUUAAGGAAGACCUCAAAAUUUCAAUCAAAUACUGGAAUAUAUUUUAGAUUCCCCAGCACUAGAGGUCAAAGUUGAGAUUUGAGAAUAACCACCUGUGAUAAAGUCUAGGAAGACUGAAUCUCCAUCUUUGAUAAAACCUCUGGUAGAGAGCCUCGACAAUCUUGAAUCCCAGCUAUCCUCCGUCAAACGUCAGACAUUGUCAGAAUCAAGAUAAAGAAGGUCGUUGAGCUAGCACAUGACAUGACUGGCAAAGAUUUUUCAAAGUUUUGCAGGAGUUCUCAAAAUUAUUUUCUAAAAAGUAAGAGUACUAAAAUCUAUAUAAAUCUUUUACUUAGUUAUUGCCUAGACAUCAAUUAGGACGGAGAGUCAUAAGUAGAAGUCCCAACACGACGAAAUACCUGAAAAAUGGCGAAAGGUAAAUCAAGGAUCGAAGGAGGUCAACACGAAGUAGUUUCACUCAAACUAAUCAUUUUUUAUGGGCGCAAGGACCAAUACACAAAAAUGAAAGUCUCUUUCAAAAAUCUCCGAGCAAAUUGGGAGCCACACCAGAGCACUAAUGCUCAAGAACAGUAUUUUUGGGUAGCCCUAAAAAUGGGUUUAGUACCCAUAUAUUGAAGACCUUUUAAAGUUGUCCAUCUCAUUUCUUGAGAUCAUGGAGGACAAAUAAAAGUGUCUUGUCUUCUUUACAAAUAUUGUAUUUAGAAUUUUUCUAAAAAACAUUCGCUAGCAAAAACGACUUUGUGUCUACUAAUCGUCUACCUUGAGUAUAGGUACAUGCAGAAAGCAAGAUCCUGACAAAUGAUUUCAGUUGAAACUAUUUUUAAUUUACCGGAAGAACCAUUGCAUAUCAUUGCCGAAAGAACAAUUUGAGAGAUUAUCUAUAAGUCAUAUUGUAUCCAAGGUCGGAUGAUAUGCAGGAACCCCUGAAAGCUAGCGAUUGGAGGGAUAUCUGUAAGCUGUCUCUUAUCCAAAGUCGAAUAAUUUGCAGGAUUACCUAAAAGCUAGAAAUUCAAAGGAUAUUUGUAAGUUUCCUCUUAUCCAAUAUCAAAUAAUGUGCAAGAUUAUCCAAAGAUUGAUAAUUUAAAGGAAAUUUAUAAAUCAAUCAUCGUCAAUAACCAAAAAGGUUAUCCUUCCACAUACAACAAGAAUUAUAGGUGACCGAAGAAGUUACCACAUCUACACAAGAUUACAUGGUUGUGAGGACCAUUCUUCAUAAAAUAUCAUUGAUGUCCGAAGGGCCACCCCACUUUGAAGAUAUAUUCAACCGACAAAUGCCAUAAUUAUACAACUAUCAAGAAGGUUGUUGUGCCUGUUAUUUCAAGUUAUUUCCUUUCAAACAGGUACAAGAAAGGAUGACUUCGCUUUUUAGACAACAACUCACGCGGAGAUAUGGUAAAAUACUAUAUACCUCUUUCGUGAGUUAUGCUUAUCACUAAUGAUUUUUGUUUGAGAUAUUGUCGAGAGCAUCCGAGAGGAUAAAAAUCUCAAAUCAAAACCACAAGUGAGGACGACUCCAAAAAGGACGCAGCACAACGUGGAACUCUUUCUUAGCAGCAAAACGGGACAUAGUCUAGACAGGGAUGUCAAACUCUCUGGAUGCGAGCUAAAUGAUGAUUACCACCACCAUCUAACCACACCCCUUUUAGAAGGCAUGUGGGUAUUUUGGGAUAUUCUGGUUUCAGCUUCACCUUCGGGAUAUUUUCUUUACUCAUACCGAGGGUAACCUUCUCUUUCUUUCAAAUUUGGGUGACAACAUACUUAGAGUUUUGAAAAUUAUGUCCAGGUAAGUUCUUAUCUAUGGAUGUGAAGGAUCCCACAUUCAUGAUUAAGAGGUUACAAACCUUUUUUCCGCAACUCAGUCAACUUGUCACUUAUCCUGAUCCAAAGAUUGUCUAAAAAUAGAAGACUAUCUUUUCUACCGAUAGAGUCGAACUACAAGCAGUCUGAUUCCCUGAGUCUCGGGGAUAUGUAAGCUGGGCUCUAUGUAGAAAACUCAACUGAAUUCCAACCUCCCCCCAAAUCCCUCUAUUCCAUAGCUUUUUGAUUUUGUCAAAAACUCCAAAAAUCGAGACAACUUGUGAAUUUUUUAAAAAUCAUGCUUUAAAUCAUGCUUUAUGAACUACAAGUGGCCUGAAUUCUCAUGCCACCUGAGAUAUGUAGGAAACCUGAUGCCAAGGUUCGGCCAUAACUCAUUAAACUCGUGCUUAAGCCAACCUUUUUCAGAUGUGAAUUUGUGAUCAAACAAAAAUUAGGAACGUCAACCUCCCUUUGCCUAGGAUUACUUGCAUCCACCCUACCCAAAGGGAGGGGGCAGUUGUUGACACCUAAUUUUUACCCCCCAUAACUAAGUUUAAUUCCGAGUUCUUUAAUUUUUAAUAAGAUUACAACAUUUAUUUUAUAGAAUAAAGGAAAUUUUCAAAAAUAUUUAUCGAGGUAAUUUCGUCACUUUAAGUAGCAAUAACAUGUUAUCGUGCCCGACUAUAUGAAAUUAUAUGCUUUGGUUACUUAAAUGGCUAUUUUCUAUAAAAUAAUCAAAGUUUGUCUUGAAAUAAUUUCGAAUGGUUAAAAUCUUGGUCUAAACAUAAUUUAAUCUCAAAAAUAAUUUGUUCAUAUAAAUAUUUGUUUAGAUUUUAUUAAAUCAAGAAGCUCGAAAUUAAAGGAGAUAUUAAUUGAUUUCAAAUUUUGAUUCAAUUCGGCUAACCUGUCAGCUUCGACCACAAUUGAAAUUAGAUUGGUCAUUAUUGCGAGCAAUUGGCCAAUCGAUUUUAAAUUUGGCCAAAAUUUGAAUAAAUCAGCCAAAUCUCCAAUUACAUAAUCAACCCAUUUAAAUCAGUUUUGUCCCAUUUUGUAAACUACAAACAGCAGCCCACUUUCUUAAUUUAGCUUACUAGCUUUGCCAACCCAAUAGUUAAGAUAAGCCCUUUCCCCUUUCAGUUGGGCCAUACAGUUGGGCCGUUAAUCCAAAACUUUCAGAUGACCCAACAAUUUUCAAAUGACAUCAAACCCAACCCAUUUCCUCAGUAACCUUUUUCUUUAAUUAUAUUGACCGCCCCAGCCCAACAACAACAUCCAAUUCAUAACCAGGCCCAAUUUCAGCAUCCCCACCAGCCUAUUUUCCUCUUUAUUCUCAAACAGGCCCAAAUCAACCACCUGUUACCCAAUCCAGCCCAAUUCUCUUUACCUCCUUUAUCUUCUUUCUCUUCAAACCAAGGGAAAACCAAAAACAGUUGUAAUACUACGACACCACCACCUUCAUCGACAACAUAAGCAACCAACAAUGGCAAAAAAUUUGAAUCCAUCAACCAGAUAACCCGAAUCCACCAUCCCCAACCAUUUUGUUUGCUCUCCACAUGCGUAUCAGGCAUCAAAAAGACGAGAAAAGAAUCCAAGAAAAAAAUAGUCUCAAAUCUUCUAGAACGAGCCUAGGUGUCAUCCCCAAUGGUUCAAUCUCGUGUUUCUCAUAUAAGAUUGUACGAUUUCGUACAGAGUUGGAUGAUUUUCAUUGGUUCUUGAAAAUAGUCCAUUUUUCCUAAAUGGUAUUAGUCCACCUGUGGCAAAUUUCUCUAAAAAAAUCCAAAGUUGGUACGUUUUGGGCUUGAAAAUGAGGCUGUGGGAGAAUGGGAUUCUGAAUUUUGAAUUUCUCUUUUUUUUUCAAUCCCUAGAUUACCCCGAACUCAUUCCAUAUAUAAGAAUCCAUCGGGUUACUGUGAUGGGGGGAUUUUUUUUUUAGACGGGCUUCUCCUCCUUCUUUCUAGGUUCGCAACCUUAGAGGUAAAGGGAUUCCAACUAGGAGGUUUGGAAAAUUUUGCAGAAGUAUCGAGGGUUUUGGGGCCAAAAAAUUUUAGGGGAAAACUUCUUAAAUUAGGAAAUUGAUAGAGAGGGCUAAGUUCAGAAACCAAGGAGGAAGUUUCCAUAGAAAGAAAACAAAGUUUUUAGUAUAGGUGUCUUUGGUCGACGACUACUUCGAGCUUUCGUGGUCACCGUGUUAAACUUUCUAGUGGUAUUGAAAUCCUGUCGUCAGUUCGACAACCUAUUUUGAUGCUCCGAAACAGGUAAACGCGCCUUUUUCUUUGAGUUUGUUUUGCUUCUUCAUCUCAUUCUUUGUAGUUUUGUAAUCAUAGUGAUAGUGAGAUGGUUUAUUGUAGAUGGUUGUUAUGGCCAUAGGAUUUUCUUGCAAAGAUUGUCGUUAUGUUGUUCGUUGCAUAAAUGUCUACACUCUAAUCCUUCGCUCCACUUUCGAUUACGUAUGUUUCGAUUUGAUCGUUUUGACUCACCAUAUUAUUUUCAUGUUGUUAGUUAGUUUCAAUCCAUUCUUAAUAGUAAUCAAUAUUGUCAUGGCGGUAUUUUUUUUAGCAUAAAUGUUGCUGAUUUUUUCAGUUUAAAUAGUAUUACUUUCAAGCCAGAAUAUUGUUAUUUUUUUAGUCUAAGUAUUGUUGGGUUUCAACCCCAAAUAUUGUUGUGUUUUUUAGUCCAAGUAGUGCUGUUUUUAGGCCUGUUUAUUGCUGUUUUUUUAGCCUAAAUAUCGCAGGUUUUUAGCCUGAAUGAUGUUUCGGAACUUAAAUAUUUUUCCCAGACCUUGAACAUCGUCGUUGAACGCUUUGGAUUUGUUUUGUUGCGCCAAACAUCUAAAAUUUUCUUACGUAGCAUACAGUUGAGUCAGAUCUUGUUUGGUUGUCUUUAGAAUCGAUCAAUAACAUGUUUGUUGUUUUGUUUCGAUUUAAAUCGGUCUUCCUUUCAAAUUAUAGAUGACCAAAAUAGAUAAUGUGCUUCUUUCUUCUUGAAAAUGACGUUCAAAACUGUUUGUGCUUGAGGCGUUGAUUUAUUUUUCCUUUCCCCCUUUGUUAAAAAUAUGUCCAAUUCAUCUUUUUGUGUCGAUUAGAACAGUGGCUUGUCAAUAUCCUAUUCUUACGUUGGUCUGAUUUUCGCUCAUAGGCUUAAAACUCUUAAGGUUUUGCAAAGCUAUUAUGUAGAAAACAACGAUUCUAUUGUCUUUUGGAUACGAAUCUGCAUCCUCAAUAUUUCUUCCGAUAAAUUGUUUCGGAGUCUAUCGUUUUCUCUUUUUGUCUUUGUUAAUAUGUGUCAUUUGCUACUACUUGUUGAUUCUUUGUUUGUAAUACUUGUUUUUCGGUUAUCUUCUACCCUGUUUAAUUAUCUGGUUCAAUAUAUUAAUUUUUUUUAGCUUCAAGAAUCUUGUGAUGAACUAUCACUUGCUGGUCAUUGAUAUCAAAAUAAAGCAAGAUGUGUUCAAACCAAGCUAUAUAAUUGGUCUUUUCUCUUAAGUUUGUGCUUUCUGGUUGAUAAAUUUUAAGGUGAUAUUUCUAUGGGUGAAAUGAAUCAGGAGCUUUACAUGAUAUUUCUUUUAAUUAGAUCACACUAGUACUGUUUUAUUCAUGCACCAAAUGUAUUCUUUUCCAUGUCAUCACUUAUUUGUUAAGUAACCAACUUUCAAACAUAUAUUAAUUUUCUUACUUUUUACUUUGCAUGUGGAUACGUUUGAGUCCUAAACGGACUCCUUUUCACCUUUGCAUCCUCUCUAUGGGUCCUUGAGGCUCACCUCGUUGAACUAAGCCCAAAAGAAGGUCCAAAAGCCCAUCGUUUGAUGUAUGGUUACGAGAAGACGGAAGGAAAGGAAAUGGAUUAAAGCCCUACGUGUGAAGCGGCUAAGAGACAAAAGUCUCAAUUAUUAUUUCAUUCUACUUAUUGUUGCUUUUUUUUUUUAUUUAUUUUAUUUGUUUGUUCAUUUUAUUCAUUCAUUUGGUCCACGAAGUCGAAGUUGUAAAUUUAAUACAGGUGGAGCGAGACUCGAGCUAAAGACUCGAAAAACAUAGAAUUAGGAUAGGUGCAAAUGGGUCGAAAUCCUAACUAGAUUAGGAUAGGGUCGACGGUUUGGGCUUAAAAGCCUAAAUCAUUACUUUCCCACUUUUUUCCUUUUUUCUUUUCAUUUACUUGUUUGCUUGUCUCUUUGCGAAGUUAGUUAAAUCCCUAACUAAGUCACUAAAAAAUUGAUUUUGAAUGUCAAUAUCCUAUUCUUACGUUGGUCUGAUUUUCGCUCAUAGGCUUAAAACUCUUAAGGUUUUGCAAAGCUAUUAUGUAGAAAACAACGAUUCUAUUGUCUUUUGGAUACGAAUCUGCAUCCUCAAUAUUUCUUCCGAUAAAUUGUUUCGGAGUCUAUCGUUUUCUCUUUUUGUCUUUGUUAAUAUGUGUCAUUUGCUACUACUUGUUGAUUCUUUGUUUGUAAUACUUGUUUUUCGGUUAUCUUCUACCCUGUUUAAUUAUCUGGUUCAAUAUAUUAAUUUUUUUUAGCUUCAAGAAUCUUGUGAUGAACUAUCACUUGCUGGUCAUUGAUAUCAAAAUAAAGCAAGAUGUGUUCAAACCAAGCUAUAUAAUUGGUCUUUUCUCUUAAGUUUGUGCUUUCUGGUUGAUAAAUUUUAAGGUGAUAUUUCUAUGGGUGAAAUGAAUCAGGAGCUUUACAUGAUAUUUCUUUUAAUUAGAUCACGCUAGUACUGUUUUAUUCAUGCACCAAAUGUAUUCUUUUCCAUGUCAUCACUUAUUUGUUAAGUAACCAACUUUCAAACAUAUAUUAAUUUUCUUACUUUUUACUUUGCAUGUGGAUACGUUUGAGUCCUAAACGGACUCCUUUUCACCUUUGCAUCCUCUCUAUGGGUCCUUGAGGCUCACCUCGUUGAACUAAGCCCAAAAGAAGGUCCAAAAGCCCAUCGUUUGAUGUAUGGUUACGAGAAGACGGAAGGAAAGGAAAUGGAUUAAAGCCCUACGUGUGAAGCGGCUAAGAGACAAAAGUCUCAAUUAUUAUUUCAUUCUACUUAUUGUUGCUUUUUUUUUUUAUUUAUUUUAUUUGUUUGUUCAUUUUAUUCAUUCAUUUGGUCCACGAAGUCGAAGUUGUAAAUUUAAUACAGGUGGAGCGAGACUCGAGCUAAAGACUCGUAAAACAUAGAAUUAGGACAGGUGCAAAUGGGUCGAAAGCCCAACUAGAUUAGGACAGGGUCGACGGUUUGGGCUUAAAAGCCUAAAUCAUUACUAGAUUAGGACAGGGUCGACGGUUUGGGAUUAAAAGCCUAAAUCAUUACUUUCCUGCUUUUCCCCCCUUUUCUUUUCAUUUAGUUGUUUGCUUGUCUCUUUGUAAAGCUAGUUAAAUCCCUAACUAAGUCGCUAAAAGUUUGAUUUUGCAAAAAAAUUUUCCUUAAUCAACUAUUUUUCUAGCAAAUUAAUUUUCCAAAGUUAAUCAAAAGAAUGUUUUUAAACAGUCUGGGUAACCGCAAGUUAACGGACGUUUUAGGUUCCUAACACCUUCCUAAAACGUUAAUAGGAACCGCCUACUUAGAAUCUCUUAACUUAAACAAUUUUCCUGUUUUGAAUUGUUUGAAGUAAUUCUCUAAAGGUUUCUUAAUUCCUUUUCAAAAUUAAGUGGCUACUCUCUUUCAAAAUUCAAAAUUUUCGCAAAACAAUUAACUGUCAAAGUUUGAAUUUUGAAAUUCCGACCGAGCCACAUAAAUAAAACAGAGGGAGUAGUAAAAAGAUUAUGAAUUUGAUUACAUACAUAUUUAAUGAAUUUUUUAACACAUAUACAUAAUUUGGGCCAAAGCUACUUGGUUCUGUCAAACAGUAUGCUGAAGGCUACUCUGCCCCUGUUAAUAAGUGAUAUGAUUGUAUUAGUACUUUUUAUAAUGUCAAUGCAUAGAACUUAAUUUCCUUUCUAGUAAGUGUCAUGUAUAGCAUACUUUUAUCUUCUUCUUACUAUGUCCUUUUGGCUUUGGUCAUUACUAUGUGCCAUGUUUGGAACGAUGCCUCACUCUGUUAAAUAAGUUGUCACAUAUGCAUGCAAGGAAGGAACAGUAUACAAGAAAUUUAUGAAUUUGUUCAAAUUAAAGAUGCAUGGUUGAGCGGAGAUUAAGGAAGGUCAUGUCUAUUUCGGAGAAUCAGUUUGGAUUUAUGCUUAGUCGCUCGACGACAGAGGUAAUCCACUUGGCCAGGAGANNNNNNNNNNNUGGAAAGAAAGAGGGAUCUACACAUGGUGUUCAUCUACCUGUAGAAGGCGCAUGACAAAGUCCCUAGGGAAGUUCUUUGGAGGUGCUUGAAGGUGAGAGGGGUCCCGAUGACGUAAAUCAGAGUCAUUAAGGACAUGUACAAUGAAGGGAAGACUCGGGUGAGGAUGGCGGGCGGAGAAUCAGAUCAUUUUUUGGUCGAGACAAGGUUAUAUCAGGGAUCGACUCUCAGUCCGUGUCUGUUUGUGUUGGUGAUGGAUGUGUUGACGCAAAGUAUUCAAGGUGAGGUGCCUUGGUGUAUGUUAUUUGCAGAUGACGUAGUGUUGAUUGAUGAGACACUGGGAGGUGUAAAUAAAAAAUUAGAGGUUUGGAGGCAUACCCUUGAGUCUUAGGGGUUUAGGUUGAGUAGGUCAAAGAUAGAGUAUAUGGAGUGCAAGUUUAGUGACUCGAAGCAGGAGGCCGAAGUGGUGGUAAGGUUGGAUUCCCAGGAUGUUUGCAAGAGGGAUAGUUUUAAAUAUCUCGAAUCUAUGAUUCAGAGGAAUGGCGAGAUUGAUGAGGAUGUCUCUAAGCGUAUUGGAGCAGGUUGGAUGAAGAGGAGGCUCGCCUCGGGAGUGUUGUACGAUAAGAAGGUGCCCUUAAAGCUUAAAGGUAAGUUCUACGGAGUGGCAAUCCGCCCGGCCGUGUUGUAUGGUGCGGAGUGUUGGCCAGUCAAGAACUCCCAUAUUCAAAUAUUGAAGGUAGCGGAAAUGAGAAUGUUGCAUUGGAUGUGUGGGCUUACUAGAAGGGAUAGAGUUAAGAAUGAGAUUAUCCGGAAGAAGGUGGGAGUGGCGUCGGUGGAAGACAAGAUGAGGGAAAAAAGACUGAGAUGGUUUGGGCAUGUGAUAAGGAGGGGCACAGAUGCCCCAGUUCGUAGGUGUGAGAGACUAGCUUUGGAUGGUUUCAGGAGGAGUAGAGGCUGACCGAAGAAAUAUUGGAGAGAGGUGAUUAGACAUAACAUGGAGCUGCUACAGCUUACUGAAGACAUUACCCUAGAUAGGAAGGUGUGGAGGUCGCGAAUAAGGGUGGAAGGCUAGUGCGGGUGUGGGUUGUGACUUGUAGUUAGGGAGCUCUUCUGUAGUCGAUUUAGUAACCCUAGGACUGUCCUUUGGUAGGAGCCGCUAGUGUAUUCUACUACUAGGUGAGUGUCCUUGUCUUAUUUCUUAUUUCCUAUUUCUUAUUUUCGUAGUUCGCUUAUUUUCGUGUCGCUCUUAUUUUUAUUAUUAUUGUUUCUUAUUUCUUAGUUUUUGGUUAUGUCACCCAUCUUGUUUCAUGUAUUAAUAUGACCUUGUUAAUUAUUCUUUAUCUAGAGUCGGGGGUCUAUCAGAAACAACCUCUCUACUUCUUUGGAAGUAGCGGUAUGGACUACGUACAUUCUACCCUCCCCAGACCCCACUUGGUGCAAAUACACUGGGUUUGUUGUUGUUGUUGUUGUUGUAAAGAUGCUAAUUAAAUUAAGGUACACAUAAACCUAAGUAUUAUGACUUGGAAACUCACAUAGUAGUACUUGCUACGUUCAGACUACAAAACACAUUGAUUUUCCCUUUUAACUGAAAUGUCAUUGAUCUAGUAGUAAAAUGUUACGAUGAUCCUCUUUCACUUCUUGACAGAAAAAUGAGGAAUCAUGCAAUAAGCUUAUAUCGUUCAACAUUAUUAUUUGCACUGAUUUUGAGUAUUGCUUCUUGAGAAUUAAUUGAAUUCGAUAAGUUCCUCCGGUCUGUAAAUUUAAGUUUAAGCUUUUAACAGCUUUAUAGUUUUUCUAGUUACCAUAUCCCAAAUGUAGCUUCGGUCGUUUUUGCUAUGUUCUUUUUUUUUUCCUUUGAUAUGAAAGUGGCACUAUAUGAUUCAUGUCUUUGGAAAGUGAAACUCAGAACUACACCAUCAUUGGAAUAUAUCAAACAUUUAUUCUAUUGUCAACUCAAUCACAAUAACUUUACAAGGCCAUCAAGCAAUCAAAUUUUAAGAAUUAUAUGAUGAUAUUCAUUUUCCGGGAACAAAAUUUGUGGCGUAGGCCCAGGCAUUGUUGUUAACCGGAUCUGCUAGGUGGUCAGCAAGGUUCUCCAAUGGACCCUUUCCUGUAACAAUGGCCUGAACAAAGAAUCCAAACAUAGAGAACAUAGCAAGUCUACCGUUCUUGAUCUCCUUUACCUUGAGCUCAGCAAAUGCCUCUGGAUCAUCAGCAAGACCUAAUGGGUCAAAGCUGCCACCGGGAUAGAGUGGGUCGACAACCUCGCCAAGAGGCCCACCAGCAAUACGGUAUCCCUCAACGGCUCCCAUCAAGACAACUUGGCAAGCCCAGAUGGCCAAGAUGCUCUGUGCAUGGACCAAACUUGGGUUGCCCAAGUAGUCAAGUCCACCCUCGCUGAAUAUCUGGGAUCCAGCCUUGAACCACACAGCCUCACCAAACUUGACACCAUUACGGGCCAAGAGCUCGGGGAAAACACAUCCAAGAGCACCAAGCAUAGCCCAUCUGCAGUGGAUCACCUCGAGUUCACGGUUCUUGGCAAAGGUUUCUGGGUCUGCUGAAAGUCCAGCGGUGUCCCAACCAUAGUCACCAGGGAAUUCACCGGUCAAGUAGCUUAGGGGCUCACCAGAGAGUGGGCCCAAGUACUUAACACGGUCUGGGCCAUACCAUGGGCUGCUAGAUGGUGCAGACUUGAGAGCCCUUCUCAUAGAGAUUCUUCCAUUUCCAGUGAUUUCUGAGGGAGAGGGUGAGAGUUUCACUGCCUGUCCAGCAAAAGAAGGGGAAGAAAGAGCCAUUGUAGAAGCUGCCAUGGUUUUUCUCAAGAGAAAGGUAAGUGUUUGAUGGUAUGAAAUAUUGUUGAAGUUGGCUGUGAUGAGGUGAAGUUAAUUACAAGGGGCUUCACCAUAUAUAGGAGGAGUAAGAGCGGUAGAGGCCUUUAUCUAACGAUAUCUACAUCUUUUUCUUUUGGUGUUAACGAUAUCUGUAUCUGUGAUCUCAUUGGGUAAUAAGAUCACAUGUGUAGAAAUUAAUGCACACUUGGCAAUCUCCAGACUCCAAUCCAUCAAUUUUCCAAGAUGUUUACUAAAGGGACCCAUCCAAUAUUGUCCUCCUUUGUGUGGAUACGAGGGUAUUGACUCUAUUCUGUGAUUUGUUGAGCUUACAAUAAGAUAUCUCUUAUCGUUAUCCAUUGGGAAUUUCUCCGGAUUUUAUCUAAUAGCUGGGAAUAAGUUACCAACACUAUAGCUCAUUCAAUGUAGAAGUAGAAACUAGAACUAUGUUUUAAGCAUUCCACUAAAUAAAUUGUGGAAAAACUGAAUUUUUUAAAUCAGAUUGUCAGUUACUAAUGUUUAUCAAAAGAUUAAUUUGUAGUAAUUACUUAAUAAGCAAAAGUGGAUCAGAAUUUGAACUUUUAUGGGUUCUGUAGUCUAGGACGACGACCUUAAAUUCUACUAAAUAGUUUCUAAAUUUAACUUUUCUACAUAUUUAAUAAGUUUAUUAAAACAUACAUGGUUUGGGCCAAAGUUAGUUCUGUCAAACCGGUUUGCUGAAGGGUACCUCUGCGCGUCCAUGUUAAUAAGUGAUAUGAUUGUGUUAUGCGUAAGUAUUUUUACAAUGUCAGUGCAUAGCGUCUCUAUAGGGUCGUCUAUACCUUGUAUCUUCUGCUUACAAUGUCCAUUUGGCUCUGAUCAUUGCUAUGUGAACAUGUUCUUCUCUAAAGAUAGUACCGCAUGCAUGUAAGGAAGGAGGACUACACAAGAAAUUCAAGAAUUUGUUCAAAUCUAAGAGGCUAAUUAAAUUAAGGGCACAUUAGUAUAAUGACCUGGAAACUCAUAUAUUACUUGCUACGUUCAUAUUACAAAACAUAUGCAUUGGUUUUCCCCUUAUCAUUUAAAUGUCAAUGGCCUACGUAGUAGUGAAAUAAUAUUAUGUCCUCUUAAUUUAUCUCACUUCUCUACAGGAAAAUAAGGAAUCAUGUAAAUAGCAUCAUGUUGUUCAUUGUUAUUCUUGGCACUAAGAGUAUUGCUUCAUGAGAAUUAAUUGAAUUUCAAGCUUUACCACAUCCAAAUGUAUCUUGGGUUUUUUGUUUUGGCUCUGUCAUCUUUUUUUCUCGCCUUGAUAUGAAACUGGCAGUAUUUUAUUCAUGCCAUUGGCAAAUGAAAUUCAGGACCAUACAAUAGUUGGAAUAUAAGAAAAAUCCAUUCUAUUGUUAAGUAAACUCACAAUUACAACUUUACAAGGACAUCAAACAAUGAAAUUUUAAGAUUGUUUUAUGAUAUUCAUUUUCCAGGAACAAAGUUUGUGGCGUAGGCCCAUGCGUUGUUGUUAACUGGAUCUGCAAGGUGGUCAGCGAGGUUUUCCAAUGGACCCUUUCCGGUAACAAUGGCCUGAACAAAGAAUCCGAACAUAGAGAACAUAGCAAGUCUACCGUUCUUGAUCUCCUUUACCUUGAGCUCAGCAAAUGCCUCUGGAUCAUCAGCAAGACCCAAUGGGUCAAAACUGCCCCGGGGUAUAGUGGGUCGACAACUUCACCAAGAGGCCCACCAGCAAUACGGUAUCCCUCAACGGCUCCCAUCAAGACAACUUGGCAAGCCCAGAUGGCCAAGAUGCUCUGUGCAUGAACCAAGCUUGGGUUGCCCAAGUAGUCAAGUCCACCCUCGCUGAAGAUUUGGGAUCCAGCCUUGAACCACACAGCCUCACCAAACUUGACACCGUUACGGGCCAACAGCUCGGGGAAGACACAUCCAAGGGCACCAAGCAUAGCCCAUCUGCAGUGGAUCACCUCGAGUUCUCGGUUCUUGGCAAAGGUUUCUGGAUCUGCUGAAAGUCCACCGGUGUCCCACCCGUAGUCACCAGGGAAUUCACCGGUCAAGUAGCUUGGGGCCUCACCGGAGAAUGGGCCCAAGUACUUAACACGGUCUGGGCCAUACCAUGGGCUGCCAGAUGAGGCAGGCUUGGUGACAGCCUUUCUCACAGAGAUCCUUCCAUUUCCAGUGAUUUCUGAGGCAGAGGGUGAGAGUUUCACUGCCUGUCCAGCAAAAGAAGGGGAAGAAAGAGCCAUUGUAGAAGCUGCCAUGGCUUAUCUCAAGAGAAAGGUAAGUGUUUGAUGGUAUAAAAUAUUGUUGAAGUUGGUUGUAAGGAUGCUGAAGUUAGUUGGGUUCAGAAUGUAUAGGGGUUAAGUAGAGAGAAAAAAUCCUCUUAUCUAGUGCUGUCUAUAGCUAUGAUUUCAUUGGGUAUCAAGAUCCCAUGUAUAGCAAUUAAUGCACUCUUGGCAAUCUCCAAUCCAUCAAUUUUCCAAGAUGUUCACUAAGGGGAACCCAACCAAUUUUGUCUUCCUAUAUGUGGCUGCAAAGCUUGAAAUCUAUUCUAUGAUUUCUUGAGCUUCAAUAUGAUAUCUCUUAUCCAUUGAGAAUUUCUCAAGAUUUUAUCCACCAGGAGUAUAGCUCAUUCAGUGUAGAACUAUGGCUUAGCAUUUCACUAAUUAAAUUGAGGAAAAGCUGAAAUUCAUUUGUAUCAGAUCAUCAAUUACUAAUGUUUGUCAAAAGAUUAACCUGUAAUUGCUUAAUAAGAAAAGGUGGAUCAAGAAUUGAACUUUAUGAGUUCUGAAAUCCUGGACUAGACCUUAAGUAGUAUAUCCUCCGCCUCAAUUUAUGUGACACAAUUGAAAUUUCGCGAGUCUACCAAGUUUUUUUUUGAUGGAAAUAUCUUUGUAUGUCUUUUAAAUAUUUCAAGUUGUUAAUUAUUGAUAGUAGUACUUUUUGUUUUUAGAUGACCGUGGUGUCCCAUACUUGCCACCUCCCACCAACAUGGGAUUUGAACCUAAAACCUUUGAGGUUCUCAACCCACUUCAUUGACCAUUAGACCUUGGGUGCAUUGUGAUUUACAGUAUUGUUUUAAUAGUUUCCAAGUACAUAGAUUUUAUUUCAAAAAACUUAAAACUUUUGUGUCCAAAUUGACUGUUAAAAGUUUGAAUUUUGAAAUUCCUACCGUGCCACAUAACAGAGGGAGUAAUAAAAAGAUUCUGAAUUUGAUGUACAUACAUAUUUAAUGGUUUUUGUAACACAUAUACAUAAUUUGGGCCAAAGCUACUUGGUUCUAUCAAACAGUAUGCUGAAGGCUACCCCUGCACCUGUUAAUAAGUGAUAUGAUUGUAUUUAGUAUUUUUUAUAAUGUUAAUGCAUAGAACUUAAUUUCCUUUGUAGUAAGUUUCAUGUAUAGCUUACUUUUAUCUUCUUCUUACUAUGUCCUUUUGGCUCUGGUCAUUACUAUGUGCCAUGUUUCGAAGGAUGCCUGCCUCUGUUAAAUAAGCCGUCACACAGGCAUGCAAGGAAGGAAGGAAGAGUAUACAAGAAAUUUAUGGAUUUGUUCAAAUAAAAGAUGCUAAUUAAAUUAACGUACACGUAAACCUAAGUAUUAUGACCUGGAAACUCAUAUAGCAGUACUUGCUACAUUCAGACCACAAAAAUAUUGGUUUUCCCUUUUAACUGAAAUGUCAUUGGUCUAGUAGUAAAAUAAUAUGAUGAUCCUCUUUCACUUCUUGACAGAAAAAUGAGUAAUAAUGUAAUAACAUCAUAUCGUUCAACAUUAUUCUUUGCACUCAUUUUGAGUAUUGCUUCUUGAGAAUUAAUUGAAUUCCAUUAGUUCCUCCGGUCUGAAAAAUGUAAGUUUUAGCUUUUAACAGCUUUAUAACUUUUCUAGUUACCAUAUCCCAAUUGUAGCUUCGGUCUUUUUCUGCUAUGCUCUUCUUCGUUUUUCCUUUGGUAUGAAAGUGGCAAUAUAUGAUUCAUGUCUUUGGAAAGUGAAACUCAGAACUAGACCGUCAAUGGAAAAUAACAAACAUUUAUUCUAUUGUCAACUCACUCACAACAACUUUACAAGGCCAUCAAACAAUCAAAUUUUAAGAAUUAUAUUAUGAUAUUCAUUUUCCAGGAACAAAGUUUGUGGCGUAGGCCCAGGCAUUGUUGUUAACCGGAUCUGCUAGAUGGUCAGCAAGGUUCUCCAAUGGACCCUUUCCUGUAACAAUGGCCUGAACAAAGAAUCCAAACAUAGAGAACAUAGCAAGUCUACCGUUCUUGAUCUCCUUUACCUUGAGCUCAGCAAAUGCCUCUGGAUCAUCAGCAAGACCUAAUGGGUCAAAGCUGCCACCGGGAUAGAGUGGGUCGACAACCUCGCCAAGAGGCCCACCAGCAAUACGGUAUCCCUCAACGGCUCCCAUCAAGACAACUUGGCAAGCCCAGAUGGCCAAGAUGCUCUGUGCAUGGACCAAACUUGGGUUGCCCAAGUAGUCAAGUCCACCCUCGCUGAAUAUCUGGGAUCCAGCCUUGAACCACACAGCCUCACCAAACUUGACACCAUUACGGGCCAAGAGCUCGGGGAAAACACAUCCAAGAGCACCAAGCAUAGCCCAUCUGCAGUGGAUCACCUCGAGUUCACGGUUCUUGGCAAAGGUUUCUGGGUCUGCUGAAAGUCCAGCGGUGUCCCACCCGUAGUCACCGGGAAAUUCACCGGUCAAGUAGCUUGGAGACUCACCUGAGAAUGGACCCAAGUACUUGACACGGUCUGGCCCAUACCAUGGGCUGCCAGAUGAGGCUGGCUUGGAGACAGCCUUUCUCAUAGAGAUCCUUCCAUUUCCAGUGAUUUCUGAGGCAGAGGGUGAGAGUUUCACUGCCUGUCCAGCAAAAGAAGGUGAAGAAAGUGCCAUUGUAGAAGCUGCCAUGGCUUAUCAAGAGAAAAGUAAGUGUUUGAUGGUAUGAAAUAUUGUUGAAGUUGGCUGUGAUGAGGUGAAGUUAAUUGCAAUUAAUGCACUCCUGAGAAUCUCCAAUCUAUCAAUUUUCCAAUAUGUUUAUAAAGGGGGACCUAACCAAUUUUGUCCUCCUAUAUGUGGCUGCAAGGCUUGAAAUCUAUUCUAUGAUUUCUUGAGCUUCAAUAUGAUAUCUUUUAUCCAUUGGGAAUUUCUCAAGAUUUUAUCCACCAUGACUAUAGUUCAUUCAGAGUAGAACUAUGUCUUAGUAUUUCACUAAAUAAAUUGAGGAAAAGCUGAAAUUCAUUUGUAUCAUAUUAUCAAUUACAAAUGUUUGUCAAAGAUUAACCUGUAAUUGCUUAAUAAGAAAAGGUGGAUCAAGAUUUGAACUUUAUGAGUUCAGUUCUGAAAUCUAGGACUAGACCUUAAGUAGUAUACCCUCCGUCCCAAUGUAUGUGGCACAAUUGGAAUUUCGAGAGUCAAUCAAAUUUUUCUUUGAUGAAAAUUCUUUGUCUUUUAAAUAUUUCAAGUUGUUAAUUAUUGUGAUUUGUUGUAGUACUUUUUAUUUUUAGAUAACCGUGGUGUGAGGUAUUUGCCACCUCCCACCAACAUGGGAUUUGAACAUAAGACCUUAAUCCACUUCAUGGACCAUUAAGCCAUAACCUUGGGUGCAUUGUGAUUUAUAGUAUUGUUUACAUAGUUUCCAAGUACAUAAACUUUAUUCUUCAAAAAACUUAAAACUUUUUUGUCUAAAUUGAUUGUCAAAGUUUAAAAGUUUGAGUUUCGAAAUUCUGAUUGUGCCACAUAAAUAAAACAGUGGGAGUAGUAAAUAGAUUCUGAAUUUGAUUUAUAUAUCUAUUUAAUGAUUUUUUUAACACAUAUACAUAAUUUGGAUCAAGGCUACUUGGUUCUGUCAAACAGUAUGCUGAAGGCUACGUCUGCCCCUGUCAAAUAAGUGAUCUAAUUUUAUUAAUAUUUUUUAUAAUGCCAAUGCAUAGAACUUAAUUUCCUUUGUAGUAAGUGUCAUGUAUAUCUACUUUUAUCUUCUUCUUACUAUGUCCUUUUGGCUCUGGUCAUUACUAUGUGCCAUGUUUCGAAGGAUGCCUGCCUCUGUUAAAUAAGCCGUCACACAGGAAUGCAAGGAAGGAAGAGUAUACAAGAAAUUUAUGAAUUUGUUCAAAUUAAAGAUGCUAAUUAAAUUAACGUACACGUAAACCUAAGUAUUAUGACCUGGAAACUCAUAUAGUAGUACUUGCCAGUAGGGCUGGGCAUAUUUUGGUUUAAACCGAAAAAACUGAAAAAUCAAAUCGAAAUUUUAAUUUCGAUUUAGUUUUUCGAUUUCUUGGAUCGGUUUUGAUUUUCAAUUUUUGAAAUUCGGUUAAACGGUUUGGUGUUCAUUUUUUCAAAAAACAAAAAAUUUGGAUAAACCGAUUAACCGAAAUUCUAUAAAUAAUUAAUAAUAUAUAUAUAUAUUAUUUAAUAUAUAAUAAAAUAAUAUAAAUAUAUAAUAGCCACCCUAAUAACUAAUAAGUAAUAGCACGCCACAUACAGCUAAAAACAUACAUCAGUCCAAUAUUAGAACAAUCGAUUGAACCAUCGACCGCCAGCGAGAUCGUCGUCUGUACAACGACACUAGAGCGGGCGACCAGACGACCACUGUGGGCUGCAGCCUGCAGCGCCGUCUGUGGUCUUUCCGGCAGCGACCACUCUUCCGAGUUUCGACUGUUUAUGCAAACUUAUGUUAUUUUCGUUUGUACUUCGGGUACACAGAAUCUGUAUAUGCAGAAACAGCAACUUCAACUAAAGUUCAAGUAUAUAAACAAGAACACAAUGAAGUAUAUCAAAUACCCUCAACACAAGAUCAAAAUGACCUUUCCAAGAGGUGUAUUUUAUUUUUCAGAAAAUAGAUGAAACAGAAAUGAAUAAGACCAAGCAGUCCGAAUUCACGGACUUUCCUUAAGGAAUAAUGCCCCUCACUGUAUCCGAGGUUAUGGAAUCUUCCUCCCAGGAUAAAAUGGCCUUCAAUCCGACUAUAGCGGUACCUCAAAUAAGCGGAUUCUUCAAACACACAGAACGCUUUGAUUGAUCACACAGAAUAUUUGUAAAGAAAAGAAGAGAGUUUUUAUUCUGCAAAAUUUUUAUAUCAAAACCUGUAAAGGUAAGCAGGUUUAUAUAGCCUAGCAAAUGCCUCUUCGAAAAGGUGGCAUUGGUUCACUUAAAUGGUGUGAUAUUUCUGAAAAUGCAUGUCUGCAACAUUUUUGCUGAAGCAGUAUACCAUUUCACCAAACAGUGCACCUGUUCGAAACAGUACAUCACUUCAUUGAAGAAUUGUAUCUGUUCAGUCGAAGCAAAAAUAGUAUAUCAGUUCAGUGCAUGCAUCAGUUCAGUCAAAACGAAACAGUACAUCAGUUCAGUCAAAACAGUGCAUCAUUUCUGUUGAAACAUUGCAUCUAUUACAGUUACUACAUGUAUUUCGUUAAAUAAAGUUUGUCCAAAAAAGAUAGAUCUCAUCGAUCUAUCAUUUUCCAAAUUCGAAUCCAAAUUCGAAGCCGAGAGAGCGACGACGACGACGGCACGAGGCAUCUCUUAUUUCUUGCCUCACUUAUCAUGUGGAGUAAGUAUUCAUCAUUAUAAACACUCCAAAGUUCCCUUCUCCCAUAAAUGUGGGAGAAUUAGUGAACUUUUUAAUUUUGGGAGUAUACUUUCCAAAUUGGUGUCUCCUCUUCUCCACCAUUUUUUUCUCUAUUUUCCAUUCACACUUUUAUGAAACUAACAAUCCCCCACAUGAAUGGGGAAUGGCUAUUUUUUGUAAAAAUUUUACGGACAAGAAUAUGAUCAUCAAGCAAAGACUGAUUUCAUCUGGAUAAGUGGGUUUCCCUUUGAACUUUCCGUAGUGAACAUGCAUCAGAUGCACUCGGUAAAUUGAUAGAUUUGAUAUCUUUGAACCGUCGAGCUUUAAUGUACACCUAGACAACACAUAUCACACAACCAUCCUUUUAACAUUUAUGGUUCUUACAAUUUUGUUCUUUUCAUCCAUGAACACGUCCCGGUUUUCAUGAGGGCUUAGAGAAUAGGCCUUUACUAACAUUCUCCUUGAAGCGGCUUUCACUUCACCCUUACAUAGGUGAUUUCUAAACGUUCUAUCCUGCAGAUUAAAAUAUUUGGUCAAAUCUGCCAAAUUUAGAUAAUCAUUAAAAGACUUUUCACCUUAAGUUUUAUCCUAGUUUACUAUACAUUAUCUACAUCAUGAGAAUGGGUUGGGUAAUUGACAAUGUUGAACCUGUCAGACACAACUUUGUUUGAUCUCCUUUAACCUAGUUGGGAUCGCCAGUCUGCUAGGUAGAGUUAUCGCUAUGCUGACUCGUCCUAGGCCUUAAACCCAUUCUCUUGGAUGUUCUUUCCACUCCUUCUCUAGAUAGGCCUUUUGUAAGUGGAUCCGACACAUUAUCAUUUGACUUUACAUAGUCAAUAAUGAUAAUUCCACUAGAGAGAAUUUCCCUAACGGUAUUAUGUCUCCGUCGUACGUGACGAGAUUUACGGUUGUACAUCAUGCUCCCUGCCCUACCUAUUGCCGCUUGGCUAUCAUAGUGUAUACAUACUGGUGCCACUGGUUUGGGCCAAUACAAAAUAUCUCCCAAGAAAUUUCGGAGCCAUUCUGCUUCUUCACCAGCUUUAUCUAAUGCGAUAAAUUCAGAUUCCAUUGUAGAGCGAGUGAUACAAGUCUGUUUGGAUGAUUUCCAAGAAAUUGCUCCUCCACCGAUAGUAAAUACAUAUCCACUUGUGGAUUUUACUUCGUUCGAUCCGGUGAUCCAAUUUGUAUCACUAUGUCCUUCAAGUACCGCAGGAUAUUUAUUAUAAUGCAAAGCAUAGUUUUGAAUGUAUUUUAAGAUACCCCAAAACUCUUUUCAUUGCCAUCCAAUGAGUUUUGUUGGGAUUACACCUGUACCGACUCAAUUUUGUAGUUGCACAUGCUAUGUCCGGUUGUGUACAGUUCAUUAUAUACAUUAAAAAUCCCAAUACUCUUGCGUACUCCAAUUGUGAAUCACUUUCACCUUCAUUCUUUCGAAGUGCAAAGUUCACGUCCAAUGGAGUCAUGGCAAUACCGAAUUCCAUAUCCUUGAACUUGUCAAGUACUUUUUCGAUAUAAUGAGACUGUGACAAUGCUAACCCUUGUGGAUUUUGAUGGAUUCUUAUACCUAAGAUUACAUCUGCAACUCCAAGGUCUUUCAUAUCAAACUUGCUCUCGAGCAUUCGUUUGAUUGCAUUUAUGUCACAAAUAUAUCUGCUGAUGAUCAACAUAUCAUCCACAUAUAAACAAACAAUGACUUGGUGAUUUGGUGUGUCUUUAAUAUAUAAACAUUUGUCACAUUCAUUUAUCUUGAAUCCAUUUGCCAACAUGGUUUGGUCAAACUUUGCAUAUCAUUGCUUAGGUGCUUGUUUUAGUCCAUAAAGUGACUUAACAAGUUUACACACCUUAUUUUCUUUUCCUGGCACCACAAAACCCUCAGGUUGUUCCAUGUAUAUUUCUUCCUCCAAAUCUCCAUUUAGGAAUGCGUUCUUCACAUCUAUUUGAUGGAUUUGAAAAUCAUAUACCACCACCAAGCCAAUUAACAUUCAAAUCGAGGUUAUCCUUGUUACUGGUGAGUAUGUAUCAAAGUAAUCAAGGCCUUCCUUCUGUUUGAAGCCUUUUACUAUAAGUCUUGCCUUGUAUUUGUCAAUUGUACUAUCUGCCUUCAUUUUUCUUUUGAAGAUCCAUUUAGAACCUAACGGUUUAUUUCCUGGAGAAAGGUCAACCAAUUUCCAUGUAUGGUUGCUUAAGAUUGAAUCUAUCUCACUAUUGACUGCCUCUUUCCAAAAGGAUGAGUCUGACGAUGGCAUCGCUUCUUUAAAUAUUUGAGGCUUAUUUUCUUAGAGAAAUGUUACAAAAUCUGAUCCAAAUGAAGUUGACAUUCUUUGAUGUGUACUAUGUCUUGGAUUUUCUUCAUUAUGUACAUUCUCACUUGGUUCAUCUCGAGGUCGCUUAGAUCCUCCACUAAACUGUUCAUGUCUAAUUUUAUACGGGUAAAUAUUUUUAAAGAAUUCAGCAUUGUCUGAUUCAAUAAUUGUAUUUUCAUUAAUAUCCGAAUGUUUGAAUUUAUGAACCAAAAAUCGACAUGCUUUACUACUUUUAGCAUAUCCUAUGAACACACAGUCCACUGUUUUAGGUCCUAUCUUAACCCUUUUAGGUACAGGAACUUGAACCUUCACUAGACACCCCCACACUUUGAAAUAUUCAAGCUGGGUUUCCUUCUUUUCCAUUUUUCGUAAGGAAUUGAUUGUGUCUUACUAUGGAAAACUCUGUUGAGUAUACGAUUGGCCAUAAGAAUAGCCUCCCAUCAUAAGUUUUGUGGUAAAGCAGAACUUAUAAGUAAGGCAUUCAUCAUUUCCUUCAAAUUUCGUUUUUUCCUUUCCGCAAUUCCAUUAGAUUGAGGUGAAUAUGGGGCCGUAGAUUGAUGGAUUAUUCCAUUCUCUACACAUAUUUGCGCAAAGGGAGAUUUAUAUUCUCCGCCCCUAUCACUUCUUAUCAUUUUGAUCUUUUUNNNNNNNNNNNNNNNNNNNNNNNNNNNNNNNNNNNNNNNNNNNNNNNNNNNNNNNNNNNNNNNNNNNNNNNNNNNNNNNNNNNNNNNNNNNNNNNNNNNNNNNNNNNNNNNNNNNNNNUAAACGCAUCUAUUGCUUCAUCCUUACUAUUUAUCGAGUAGACAUAACAGUAUCUAGUGCAAUCGUCAAUAAAAGUUAUGAAAUAUUUUUUCCCACCACGAGAUGGUGUUGACGUUAUAUCACAAAUGUCAGUGUGUAUUAAGUCUAAGGGAUUGGAAUUCCUUUCAACGGACUUAUAAGGAUGCUUUGCAUACUUCGAUUCCACACACGUUUGACACUUUGAUUUAUUGCACUCAAAGUUUGGCAAAACUUCUAAGCUAAUCAGUUUUCAUAACGUUUUAUAAUUAACAUGGCCUAAACAUUCAUGCCAUAAUAAGACUCAAGAAAAUAAGAAGAAUUCAAACUUUUAUUUAUUUCAACAGUCAUUACAUUCAUCUUAUAAAGUCCUUCGGUCAAAUAGCCUUUUCCUACAUACAUUUAUCCUUUGCUAAUUACAAUUUUUUCAGAAACGGUUACACAUUUGAAUCCGUUCUUGUCUAGAAGUGAAACAGAAAUUAAAUUCCUACGUAAAUACGGAACAUACAAGACAUUGUUAAGUGUCAAGACCUUUCCGGAAGUCAUAUUUAAGAAAAUUUUUCCUAUUCUUUCUACCUUAGCCGUAGCGGAGUUAGCCAUGUAGAUCAUUUCUUCUACUUGAGCAGAAGCAAAUAACGAAAACAGCUCCUUGUUGGCACAUACAUGGCGGGUGGCACCAGAAUCCAUCCACCCUUCACUAGGAUUCCCCGUCAAGUUGCAUUCUGAGAACAUAGCACACAGAUCAUCGAAUUCUUUGUUGGAUUCAAUCAUAUUUGCUUGAUCCUUCUUCUUUCCUUUCUUUGGGGCACGACAAUCUGUGGACUUGUGGCCAAUCUUGCCACAGUUGAAGCAUUUUCCCUUGAACUUUUUCUUGGUUUGAUUGCUUCCUUGUUUAGCUUUCUUCCUUUUCUUGAAAUUGUUUUGGUCAUCUUCUACAAUAUGUGCUCCAUUAAUUGUAGAAUUCCUCUUUGACCUUCUUUCGGAAGCUUUAUUAUCCUCUUCAAUACGAAGUCGGACAAAAAGUUCUUCAACAGUCAUCUCCUUGCGUUUAUGCUUUAAGUAGUUUUUGAAGUCUUUCCACAAAGGUGGUAGCUUCUCAACUAUCACUGCUACUUGGAAAUCAUCAUUCACAAUUAAACCUACAAUACAGUUUAUGUGAGUAUUAAGAACAUUUUUAAUUUGUUCAACUAAGGUAUUUUUCAAAGAUAUACCUUCUGCUAAGAGAUCAUGUAUGAUGACUUGCAACUCCUNNNNNNNNNNNNNNNNNNNNNNNNNNNNNNNNNNNNNNNNNNNNNNNNNNNNNNNNNNNNNNNNNNNNNNNNNNNNNNNNNNNNNNNNNNNNNNNNNNNNNNNNNNNNNNNNNNNNNNNNNNNNNNNNNNNNNNNNNNNNNNNNNNNNNNNNNNNNNNNNNNNNNNNNNNNNNNNNNNNNNNNNNNNNNNNNNNNNNNNNACAUAAAGUGGUGAGGUAAAAGAACAUCUUUUGCUGCCACCGCUUGAAGUCAAUGCUUGAAAAUAUUUUGGGCUACUCCGUCAGUGCCAUUGUUGGCGGAGCAUUUGUGUGACUUGAUGUGGCAAUAUUAGUUACCCCCAUAGACGUUGUCGCAUCUAUUAUUUCACUUUCGUUAGUCAUCUUUCCUGUCAACACAAGACAGAAAAAUUUAGUAUUUUCAGAAUAUUACUUAUAAAGUUAAAUAACUUUUCAACUUUUCUUCUUGUUUCUAAUUAACGACGAAGCUUUUAUAACUUCAAAUCGUCAACUGAGUGAACUUUAACUUGUGAUGAAGAUUUUAUGUCUUCUAAUCACUAGUUAAAUUCAAGCGGAGUAAAAAGUUUAAAGCUUUAAUCUCCAAAAACAAGUUAUACAGAUUCUGUAAAAGGAAUUAUUCCUUAAGAUUCUUAUUUUUGUUUUACUUUGGGUACACAGAAUUUGUAUAUGCAGAAACAACAACUUCAACUAAAGUUCAAGUUUAUAAACAAGAACACAAUGAAGUAUAUCAAAUACCCUCAACACAAGAUCAAAAUGACCUUUCCAAGAGGUAUAUUUUAUUUUUUAGAAAAUAGAUGAAACAGAAAUGAAUAAGACCAAGUCGUCCGAAUUCAUGGACUUUUCUUAAGGAUUAAUUCCCCUCACUGUAUCCGAGGUUAUGGAAUCUUCCUCCCAGGAUAAAAUGGCCUUCAAUCCGACUAUAGCGGUACCUCAAAUAGGCGGAUUCUUCGAACACACAGAACGUUUUGAUUGAUCACACAGAAUCUUUGUAAAGAAAAGAAGAGAGUUUUUAUUCUGAAAAUUUUUUAUAUCAAAACCUGUGAAGAAAAGCAUGUUUAUAUAGCCUAGCAGAUGCCUCUUCAAAAAGGUGGCAUUUGUUCACUUAAAUGGUGUGAUGUUUCUGAAAAUGCAUGUCUGCAGCACUUUUACUGAAGCAGUAUACCAUUUCACCAAAUAGUGCACCUGUUCAAAAUAGUACAUCACUUCAUUAAAGAAUUGCAUCUGUUCAGUCGAAGCAAAAACAGUAUAUCAGUUCAGUGCAUGCAUCUGUUCAGUCGAAAAGAAAUAGUACAUCAGUUUAGUCAAAAUAGUGCAUCAAUUCUGUCGAAACAUUGCAUCUGUUACUAUUACUAAAUGCAUAUAAAUGGAGUAUUUAUCAGAUUUCAUCAAAUAAAAUUUAUCCAAAAAGACAGAUAUCAUCGAUCGAUCAUUUUCCAAAUCCAAAUCCAAAUCUGAAGUCGAGCGACCGACGACAACAGUGGCGCGAGGAAUCUCUUAUUUCUUGCCUCACUUAUCAUGUGGAGUAAGUAUUCAGCAUUAUAAACACUCCAAAGUUUCUUUCUCCCACCAAUGUGGGAGAAUUAGUGAACUUUCCAAUUUUGGGAGUACACUUUCCAAAUUGGUGUCUCCUCUUCUCCAUAAUUUUUUUCUCCAUUUUCCAUUCACACUUCUAUGAACCCAACAAUCCCCCAUAUGAAUGGGGAAUAUAUAUUUUUCGUAAAACUUUUACGGACAAGAAUGUGAUCAUCAAGCAAAGACUGAUUCCAUCUGGAUAAGUGGGUUUCCCUUUGAACUUUCCGUAGUGAACAUGCAUCGGAUGCACUCGGUCAAUUGGUAGAUUUGAUAUCUUUGAACCGUUGAGCUUUAAUGUACACCUAGAUAACACAUGUCACACAACCAUCCUUUAACGUUUAUGGUUCUAACAAUUUUAUUCUUUUCAGUCAUGAACACGUCCCGGUUUUCAUGAGAGCUUAGAGAAUAGGCCUUUACUAAUAUUCGCCUUGAAGCAGCUUCCACUUCGCCCUCACAUAAGUGAUUUCUAAACGUUCAAUCCUGUAGAUUAAACUAUUUGGUCAAAUCUGUCAAAUUUAGAUAAUCAUUAAAAGACUUUUCACCUUAAGUCUUAUCCUAGUUUACUAUACAUUGUCUACAUCAUGAGAAUGGGUUGGGUAAUUGACAAUGUUGAACCUGUCAGACACGACUUUGUUUGAUCUCCUUGAACCUAGCUCUUGGGAUCUCCAGUCUGCUAGAUAGAGUUACCGCCACGUUGACUCAUCCUAGGCCUUAAACCCAUUCCCUUGGAUGUUCUUUCCACUCCUUAUCUAGAUAGGCCUUUUGUAAGUGGAUCCAACACAUUAUCCUUUAACUUUACAUAGUUAAUAGUGAUAAUUCCACUAGAGAGAAUUUCCCCAACGGUAUUAUGUCUCCGUCGUAUGUGAUGAGAUUUAUGGUUGUACAUCAUGCUCCCUGCCCUACCUAUUGCCGCUUGGCUAUCACAGUGUAUACAUACUGGUGCCACUGGCUUGGGCCAAUACAAAAUAUCUCCCAAGAAAUUUCGGAGCCAUUCUGCUUCUUCACCAGCUUUAUCUAAUGCGAUAAAUUCAGAUUCCAUUGUAGAGCGAGUGAUACAAGUCUGUUUGGAUGAUUUCCAAGAAACUGCUCCUCCACCGAUAGUAAAUACAUAUCCACUUAUAGAUUUUACUUCGUUUGAUCCGGUGAUCCGAUUUGCAUCACUAUGUCCUUCAAGUACCGCAGGAUAUUUAUUAUAAUACAAAACAUAGUUUUGAAUGUAUUUAAGAUACCCCAAAACUCUUUUCAUUUUCAUCCAAUGAGUUUUGUUGGGAUUACUCCUAUACCGACUUAAUUUACUAAUUGCACAUGCUAUGUCUGGUCGUGUAUAGUUCAUUAUAUACAUUAAACAUCCCAAUACUCUUGCAUAUUCCAAUUAUGAGUCAUUUUCACCUUCAUUCUUUUGAAGUGCAAAGUUCACAUCCAAUGGAGUCUUGACAAUACCGAAUUCCAUAUCCUUGAACUUGUCAAGUAAUUUUUUGAUAUAAUGAGACUAUAACAAUGCUAACCUUUGUGGAUUUUGAUGGAUUCUUAUACCUAAGAUCACAUCUGUAACUCUAAGGUCUUUCUUAUCAAACUUGCUCUAGGGCAUUCGUUUGGUUGCAUUUAUGUCACAAAUAUCUCUGCUGAUGAUCAACAUAUCAUCCACAUAUAAACAAACAAUGACUUGGUGAUUUGGUGUGUCUUUAAUAUAUAAACAUUUGUCACAUUCAUUUAUCUUGAAUCCGUUCGCCAACAUGAUUUGGUCAAACUUUGCAUGCCAUUGCUUAGGUGUUUGUUUUAGUCCAUAAAGUGACUUAACAAGUUUACAUACCUUAUUUUUUUUUUCUGAAACCAUAAAACCUUCAGGUUGUUCCAUGUAUAUUUCUUCCUCCAAAUCUCCAUUUAGGAAUGCGGUCUUUACAUCCAUUUAAUAGAUUUGAAGAUCAUAUACCGCCGCCAAGGCAAUUAACAUUCGAAUCAAGGUUAUCCUUGUUACUGGUGAGUAUGUAUCAAAGUAAUCAAGGCUUUCUCUUUCUGUUUGAAGCCUUUUACUACAAGUCUUGCCUUGUAUUUGUCAAUAGUACCAUCCGCCUUCAUUUUCCUUUGGAAGAUCCAUUUAGAACCUAACGGUUUAUUUUCGGGAAGAAGGUCAACCAAUUUCUAUGUAUGGUUGCUUAAGAUUGAAUCUAUCUCACUAUUGACUGCCUCUUUCCAAAAGAAUGAGUCUGACGAUGGCAUCGCUUCUUUAAAUGUUUGAGGCUUAUUUUCUUAGAGAAAUGUUACAAAAUCUGAUCCAAAUGAAGUUGACGUUCUUUGACGUGUACUACGUCUUGGAUUUUCUUCAUUAUGUACAUUCUCACUUGGUUCAUCUCGAGGUCGUUUAGAUCCUUCACUAGACUGUUCAUGUCUAAUUUAUACGAAUAAAUAUUUUUAAAGAAUUCAGCAUUAUCUGAUUCAAUUAUCGUAUUUUCAUUAAUAUCCGGAUGUUUGGAUUUAUGAACCAUAAAUUGACAUGCUUUACUAUAUUUAGCAUAUCCUAUGAACACACAGUCUACCAUUUUAGGUCCUAUCUUAAUCCUUUUAGGUAUAGGAACUUGAACCUUCGCUAGACACCCCCACACUUUAAAAUAUUCAAGUUGGGUUUCCUUCCUUUCCAUUUUUUUUAAGGAAUUGAUUGUGUCUUACUAUGAGGAACUCUGUUGAGUACACGAUUGGCCAUAAGGAUAGCCUCCCAUCAUAAGUUUUGUGGUAAACCAGAACUUAUAAGUAAAGCAUUUAUCAUUUCCUUCAAAGUUUGGUUUUUCCUUUCCGCAAUUCCAUUAGAUUGAGGUGAAUAUAGGACCAUAGUUUGAUGGAUUAUUCCAUUCUCUACACAUAUUUGCGCAAAGGGAGAUUCAUAUUCUCCGCCCCUAUCACUUUUUAUUAUUUUGAUCUUUUUGUCUAAAUGAUUUUCAACUUCAGUUUUAAUUGCCUAAAUGCAUCUAUUUCUUCAUCCUUACUAUUUAGCAAGUAGACAUAACAAUAUCUAGUGCAAUCGUCAAUACAAGUUAUGAAACAUUUUUUCCCACCACGUAAUGGUGUUGACUUCAUAUCACAAAUGUCAGUGUGUAUUAAGUCUAAGGGAUUAGAAUUUCUUUCAACGAACUUAUAAGGAUGCUUUGCAUACUUUGAUUCCACACACGUUUAACACUUUGAUUUAUUACACUCAAAGUUUGGCAAAACUUCUAAGUUAAUCAAUUUUCGUAACGUUUUGUAAUUAGCAUGGCCUAAACGUUCAUUCCAUAAAUCAUAACACUCAAGCAAAUAAGAAGAAUUCAAACUUUUAUUUAUUUCAACAGUCAUUACACUCAUAUUAUAAAGGCCUUCGGUCAGAUAGCCUUUUCCUACAUACAUUUCUCCUUUGCUCAUUACAAUUUCUCCAUAAAUGGUUACACAUUUGAAUUCGUUCUUCUCUAGAAGUUAAACAGAAAUUAAAUUCCUACGUAAAUACGGAACAUACAAGACAUUGUUAAGUGUCAAGACCUUUCCGAAAGUCAUAUUUAAUCAAAUUUUUCCUAUUCUUUCUACCUUAGCCGUAGCGGAGUUAGCCAUGUAGGGAGCGAAUGACGAAAACAACUCCUUGUUGGCACAUACAUGGCGGGUGGCACCAGAAUCCAUUCACCAUUCGCAAAGAUUCCCCAUCGAGUUGCAUUCUGAGAACAUAGCACACAGAUCAUCGCAUUCUUUAUUGGAUUCAAUCAUAUUUGCUUGAUCCUUCUUCUUGCCUUUCUUUGGGGCACGACAAUCUGUGGACUUGUGGCCAAUCUUGUCACGGUUGAAGCAUUUUCCCUUGAACUUUUUCUUAGGUUGAUUGCUUCCUUAUUCAGCUUUCUUCCUUUUCCUGAAAGUAUUUUAGUCAUCUUCUACAAUAUGUGCUCCAUUAAUUGUAGAAUUCCUCUUUGACCUUCUUUCGGCAGCUUUAUUAUCCUCUUCAAUACGAAGUUGGACAAUAAGAUCUUCAAUAGUCAUCUCUUUGCGUUUAUGCUUUAAGUAGUUUUUGAAGUCUUUCCACAAAGGUUGUAGUUUCUCAAAUAUCAUUGCUACUUGAAAAGCAUCAUUCACAAUUAAACCUACAAAAUAGUUUAUGUGAGUAUUAAGAACAUUUUUAGUUUGUUCAACUAAGGUAUUUUUCAAAGAUAUACCUUCUGCUAAGAGAUCAUGUAUGAUGACGUGCAACUCCUGUACUUGAGAGACAAAAGAUUUGCUAUCUAUUAUUUUGAAGUCCAAGAACUGUGCAACAAGAAAUUUUUUAAUUCCCGCAUCCUCCGUCUUAUAUUUUCGUUCAAGCGCCCCCCACAGUUCCUUUGAUGUCUUGGUUCCACUAUAAACAUUGUAGAGGUCGUCUUGGAAACUACUCAAAAUAUAAUUCCUGCAAAGAAAGUCCGAAUGUUUCCAAGCUUCUACAAUAACGAAGCGUUCUUUGUCCGAGGUUCCCUCGGGCACCUCAGGAGCGUCUUCGCUAGUGAACCAUUGCAAACAUAAAGUGGUGAGGUAAAAGAACAUCUUUUGCUGCCACCGCUUGAAGUCAAUGCUUGAAAAUAUUUUGGGCUACUCCGUUGGUGCCAUUGUUGGCGGAGCAUUUGUGUGACUUGAUGUGGCAAUAUUAGUUACCCCCAUAGACGUUGUCGCAUCUAUUAUUUCACUUUCGUUAGUCAUCUUUCCUGUCAACACAAGACAGAAAAAUUUAGUAUUUUCAGAAUACUACUUAUAAAGUUAAAUAACUUUUUAACUUUUCUUCUUGUUUCUAAUUAACACUGAAGUUUUUAUAACUUCAAAUCGUCAACUGAGUGAACUUUAACUUGUGAUGAAGAUUUUAUGUCUUCUAAUCACUAGUUAAAUUCAAGCGGAGUAAAAAGUUUAAAGCUUUAAGCUCCAAAAACAAGUUAUACAGAUACUAUAAAAGGAAUUAUUCCUUAAGAUUCUUAUUUUCGUUUAUACUUCGGGUACACAGAAUCUGUAUAUGCAGAAACAACAACUUCAACUAAAGUUCAAGUAUAUAAACAAGAACACAAUGAAGUAUAUCAAAUACCCUCAACACAAGAUCAAAAUGAUCUUUCCAAGAGGUAUAUUUUAUUUUUCAGAAAAUAGAUGAAAGAGAAAUGAAUAAGACCAAGUCGUCCAAAUUCACGGACUUUACUUAAGGAAUAAUUUCCCUCAUUGUACUCGAGGUUAUGGAAUCUUCCUCCCAGGAUAAAACGGCCUUCAAUCCUACUAUAGCGGUACCUCAAAUAGGCGGAUUCUUUGAACGCACAGAACGUUUUGAUUGAUCACACAGAAUAUUUGUAAAUAAAAGAAGAGAGUUAUUAUUUUGAAAAUUUUUAUAUCAAAACCUGUGAAGGAAAGCAUGUUUAUAUAGCCUAGCAGAUGCCUCUUCGAAAAGGUGGCAUUUGUUCACUUAAAUGGUGUGAUGUUUCUGAAAAUGCAUGUCUGCAGCACUUUUGCUGAAGCAGUAUACCAUUUCACCAAAUAGUGCACCUGUUCAAAAUAGUACAUCACUUCAUUAAAGAAUUGCAUCUGUUCAGUCGAAGCAAAAACAGUAUAUCAGUUCAGUGCAUGCAUCUGUUCAGUCGAAAAGAAAUAGUACAUCAGUUCAGUUGAAAUAAUGCAUCAGUUUUGUCGAAACAUUGUAUCUGUUACUGUUACUAAAUGCAUAUAAAUGGAGUAUUGAUCAGAUUUCAUCAAAUAAAGUUUGUCCAAAAAGAUAGAUCUCAUUGAUCGAUCAUUUGACAAAUCCAAAUCCAAAUCCGAAGCUGAAGCCGAGCGAACGAUGACGAUGACGACGCGAGGCAUCUCUUAUCAUGUGAAGUAAGUAUUCAUCAUUAUAAACACUCUAAAUUUUCCUUCUCCCACCAAUGUGUGAGAAUUAGUGAACUUUUUAAUUUUGGGAGUACACUUUCCAAAUUGGUGUCUCCUCUUCUCCACCAUUUUUUUCUCUAUUUUCCAUCCACACUUCUAUGAACCCAACAAUCCCCCACAUGAAUGGGGAAUGACUAUUUUUCAUAAAUCUUUUAUGGACAAGCAUGUGAUCAUCAAGCAAAAACUAAUUCCAUCUGGAUAAGUGGGUUUUCCUUUGAACUUUCCGUAGUGAACAUGCAUCGGAUGCACUCGGUCAAUCGGUAGAUUUGAUAUCUUUGAAUCUUCGAGCUUUAAUGUACACCUAGACAACACAUAUCACACAACCAUCCUUUUAACAUUUAUGGUUCUUACAAUUUUGUUCUUUUCAGCCAUGAACACGUCCCGAUUUUCAUGAGAGCUUAGAGAAUUGGCUUUUACUAACAUUCUCAUUGAAGCAUCAUCCACUUCGCCCUCACAUAGGUGAUUUCUAAAUGUUCAAUUCUGUAGAUUAAACUAUUUGGUAAAAUCUGUCAAAUUUAGAUAAUCAUUAAAAGACUUUUUACCUUAAGUCUUAUCCUAGUUUACUAUACAUUGUCUACAUCAUGAGAAUGGGUUGGGUAAUUGACAAUGUUGAACCUGUCAGACACAACUUUGUUUGAUCUCCUUGAACUUAGCUCUUGGGAUCUCCAGUCUGCUAGGUAGAGUUACCGCCAUGCUAACUCGUCCUAGGCCUUAAACCCAUUCCCAUGGAUGUUCUUUAGCCUAGUAGAUGCCUCUUCAAAAAGGUGGCAUUGGUUCACUUAAAUGGUGUGAUGUUUCUGAAAAUGCAUGUCUACAGCAUUUUUGCUGAAGCAGUAUACCAUUUCACCAAACAGUGCACCUGUUCGAAACAGUGCAUCACUUCAUUGAAGAAUUGCAUCUGUUCAGUCGAAACAGAAAUAGUAUAUCAGUUCAGUGCAUGUAUCAGUUCAGUCGAAAAGAAAUAGUACAUCAGUUCAGUCAAAACAGUGCAUCAGUUUUGUCGAAAUAUUGCAUCUGUUAUUGUUACUGCAUGCAUAUAAAUAAAGUAUUAUCGAAAAAGAUAGAUCUCAUCGAUCAUUUUCCAAAGCCAAAGCCGAGCGAGCGACGACGACGACAGAGCGAGGCAUCACUUAUUUCUUGCCUCACUUAUCAUGUAGAGUAAGUAUUCAUCAUUAUAAACACUCCAAAGUUCCUUUCUCCCAGCAAUGUGGGAGAAUUAGUGAACUUUCCAAUUUUGGGAGUACACUUACCAAAUUAGUGUCUCCUCUUCUCCACCAUUUUUUUCUCCAUUUUCCAUUCACACUUCUAUGAACCCAACAACUUAUACAUAAUAAAGUUAUAUAUUAUGUUAAACUAAUGGUUAUAUCAUUUAAUUUCAUCUAUGUUGAGUUAUUUAUAUUUGGAAAUGAAAAAUAGGUUUGAAAAUAAUUAUUUUAUAAGAAAAAUCAUUAAUUUUAAAUGUCCAGUCAUAACAAAGAGGGGUUCACUAGUUUAAUCUUCAAAAUAAAAAUAAAAAUCUGAAAUAAUCGAACCGAAUUUGUAGAAACCGGACCGAACCGAAUUUAUUUCGGUUUGAUUACGGUUGUCAUUUUUGUCAAUUCAAAAAUCGAAAAACCAAACCGAUAUUAAACUAUCAAACCGAACGAACCAAAUGUCCAUCCCUUCUUCCCAGGGGCGAACCUACGUAGAUUCAAGUGGAUUCAUAUGAGCCCACUUCGUCGAAAUAUCACACCGUAUGUAUCAAUGUUUGAAAAUGUACAAGAUAUAUAUUAAUUUUUUAACCCAUUUUAAAUAGCUCAGCCUAGUGGAAAGGCGGGUUCAAGAUUUUUGAUAGGUCAAACUUUCCGACACCAACAACCUUUUUGUUAAAUGUCAGAUAAUUUUUUCUUUCUAAUUUUUUUUUAUUAUAAUAUAACUUUAAAAUUUAUUUAAUCAAAAUUUGUUUAUUUAUUUCUCUGGGUAUUCAUUUUUUAUAUAUUUGAACCCACUUUCCUGAGCAGAAUCUAUGUUGCUAUUAUUGUAUAUUUGAACCCGCCACUGGUACUUGCUAUGUUCAGACUACAAAACAUAUUGGUGUUCCCUUUUAACUGAAAUGUCAUUGCUCUAGUAGUAAAAGGUCAAAGUCAUCAAUAGACACUCAAACUUAUUGUCAAAAUUCACUUAGACACCUAAACUAAGGCAUGUUCCUAUCAGGCCCCUAAACCCCCCACAUUUUGUUCAAAUUGGGUUUUUUUUGCCCUAUCAGCAAAAAACUCAAAGUGUGUUGCACACAAGCGAUGACAUGGCAAAAUGAGCUAAUUAGAAGCUGACACGUGGCAUUAUGGGUCCAAUAAUUAUUAAAAAUUAAUUAUAAUUUUAAAAAAAAAAAGUAUAUACAAAUGGCAUUGAAUAAAUUAUUAAAAAAUAAUUCUAAAAUUAUUUAAAAAUAAAACUGAUUAUUUAAAAAAAAUUAUAAAAAUUUUCUAAAAAUGAAAUAAAUUAUUAAAAAAUUAUUUUAAAAAACAAUUAAUUAAUAAGAAAAAUUAUAAUUUUUUUUUAAAAAUGGCGAGGAUAUAAAUUAUGAAAAAAUAAUUAUAAAAUUAUUUGAAAAAUAAAAAUAAAAAAUUAAUUAUUUUAAAAAAAUAUAAAUUUUUUAAAAAAUGAAAUAAAUUAUUAAAAUAUUAUUUAAAAAAUAAAAACUUAAUUAUUAAAAAAAAUAAAAUUUUUUAAAAAUUGAAAAUGAAAAAUGGCAUAGAGGAUAUAAAUUAUGAAAAAAUAAUUAUAAAAUUAUUUUUUAAAAAAACUAAUUAUAAAAUUAUUUUUUAAAAAAACUAAUUAUUAAAAAGAAAUCUUAAAUUUUUUUAAAAGAUGAAAAUAAAGAAUUAAUUUUUUUUAAAAUUCAGUUUAUUAAAAAUAAAAUAAAAUUGGGGCCUUCUAAUGCUUUUUGGGGCCUUUAGUGUUUCAAAAAAAAAAGAAAAUUUGUUAUUAAAAAAAUUUUGGGGCCCUCAAUGCCACUUGACAACUUUUUAUUCGUAAAUUAGUAAAAAAAAAUGCUCCUCACACGCCUUCCACAAUGGCACUGCACACGUAGUGUCACAUAGGCAAAAAAUGUCUAAUUGGAACAAAAUUCAGGGAUUUAAUGGUCUGAUAUGAACAUGUCUUAGUUUAGGGGUCUAAUUGAAUUUUUGCAAUAAGUUUGAGUGUCUAUCGAUGAGUUUGACCUUUUCAAAUUGACACAUGCGUAACCAAUUCUCUAAAUACCAAUUAUUUCUCCUUCAAGUGAUGUCAUCUUCCACAUGGUGGACCCCAUGAUCCUAAGAAUUAUUUAAAAAAUAAAAAAAUAAUUAUUAAAAAUAAAUUAUAAAUUUUUUAAAAAAAUAAAAAUCCCCCACCUAUCCCAGCCCCCAACGUAUUGUUUUAUUAAAAAAAAAAAUUGGAACCCCCUAAUGCUUUUUGUUUUAUUAAAAAGUGUCUUUAGUGUUUAAAAAAAAAUUGUUAUUAAAAAAAUUUUGGGGCCCUCAAUGCCACUUGGCAUCUUUUUAUUUGUAAAUUAGUAAAAAAAAUUGCUCCUCACACGCCUCCCACGAUGGCACUGCACGCGUAGUGCCACAUAGGCAAAAAAGGCCCAAUUGAAACAAAAUGUGGGGGGUUUAGGGGUCUGAUAGAAACAGGCGUUAGUUUAGGUGUCUAAGUGAAUUUUGACAACAAGUUUGAGUGUCUAUCGAUGUCUUUGGCCAGUAGUAAAAUAAUAUGAUGAUCCUCUUUCAUUUCUUGAUAGAAAAAUGAGGAAUCAUGUAAUAACAUCAUAUCGUUCAACAUUAUUCUUUGCACUAAUUUUGAGUAUUAUGUUAAGGUUUUUAAACUGAUUUUCUUAUCAAAAUUAAGUUUUACUUUUUUCUUGUAAGGAAAAUAAAAGUAAUCAUAAAUAUUUUUACUUUUCAUAAAAGAAAAUAUAAAACUUUUUCAUAUUUGGCAAACCUCUUUCUUAGAGGAAGGUUUUGGACAUCUAUAAGAAUUAAGAUCCCCUCUUCAUACCAUAACAUUGUAACAUUCUCAAUGUAGUCAUUGAAGAGUCUUUGUUUAUGAGUGAUUUCUCUCAAUAGGUUUAAUGUUUUUCGAUAUUAGGUUUUAUAAUAUGCAGGCCGAUUGGCCAAAACAUAUAAUAAUUUUAUGUUUUUUAAUAUUGUUUUCUUUGUCGCCUGAUUUAUCAUCUCAUAGUUUGCAACUAAUAGCUUCCGCAUGACAUCCUCUCGUUUUUGAACCCAACAAAUGGUAUCAGAGUCGAUGGUUCAAAGAUCCGAUGGUUCGAUUGAGGACUUUUUAAGAUCAAAGUUGCAAUCAAUUUGGCGAUGAUGAAGCUUUUGUCAAAAAAAAAAAAAAAGGUUCAAAAACUACAUGUGGAGAAAAAGUUUCAAACAAAAUUUCAACAAUCUUGGUGCUAAUCCAUCUUUAAAACCAAAAUCAAUUUCAACUCAUAUUUAUGACUUCAAUUUUCAAUCUAUACUUGCUUUAACGCUUGGGCUCCUUUCAACUCGUGCAUUUAUUUUUAAUGCAUGAGCUCCACUCUUAACCUGUGCUCACUUUCAAUGCACAAAGUUCUACUUUCAAUCUUAUCAACCGUGCUUUUAUUUUUAAUGCAUAGGACUCUAAUUUUAACCCAUAUCAAUUUUUAAUCAUGGUUGACAGCAGUGAUAUAUGAAGAAUAUAUGAAAAACGAAGAUCAUGCACAAGAAAAAGGAGGAUCAAGAAUAUUUUGCAGAAAAUCAAGCAAAAAAGGGAGAUUUGUUAGGGUUUUUACUCUAAUUUUCUUACCAAAAUUAAGUUUUACUUUUUCUUAUAAAAAAAUAAAAGUAAUCAUAAAUACUUUUAUUUUUGUUAAAAGAAAAAUAUAAAACUUUUCUAUAUUUGGCAAACCUCUUUCUUGGAGGAAAGGUUCUGGACAUUAGGAUACUCUUCUCAUGCCAUAAUACGGUAGCAUCCACAAUGUAGUCAUUGAAGAGUUUUGUUUAGGGAAAUUUAAUGUUUUUUCGAUAUUAGAUUUUAUAAUAUGCAGGCCGAUUGGCCAUAACAUAUAAUAAUUUUAUACUUUUUAGUGUUAUUUUCUUUGUCACCUGAUUUAUCGUCCCAUAAUUUGCAACUAAUAGCUUCCGCAUGACGCUCUCUCGAUUACGAUCCCAACAUAUUGUUUCUUGAGAAUUAAUUGAAUUCCAUAAGUUCCUCCGGUCCGUAAAUUUAAGUUUUAAGAUUUUAACAGCUUUAUAGUUUUUCAGUUACCAUAUCCCAAAAUGUAGCUCCGGUCGUUUCUGCUAUGCUCUUUUUUUUUUUUUUUUCCUUUGGUAUGAAAGUGGCAAUAAAUGAUUCAUGUCUUUUGAAAGUGAAACUAAGAACUAGACCGUCAUUGGAAAAUAACAAACAUUUAUUCUAUUGUCAACUCACUCACAACAACUUUGCAAGGCCAUCAAACAAUCAAAUUUUAACAAUUAUAUUAUGAUAUUCAUUUUCCGGGAACAAAGUUUGUGGCGUAGGCCCAGGCAUUGUUGUUAACCGGAUCUGCUAGAUGGUCAGCAAGGUUCUCCAAUGGACCCUUUCCUGUAACAAUGGCCUGAACAAAGAAUCCAAACAUAGAGAACAUAGCAAGUCUACCGUUCUUGAUCUCCUUUACCUUGAGCUCAGCAAAUGCCUCUGGAUCAUCAGCAAGACCCAAUGGGUCAAAGCUGCCACCGGGAUAGAGUGGGUCGACUACCUCACCAAGAGGCCCACCAGCAAUACGGUAUCCCUCAACGGCUCCCAUCAAGACAACUUGGCAAGCCCAGAUGGCCAAGAUGCUCUGUGCAUGGACCAAACUUGGGUUGCCCAAGUAGUCAAGUCCACCCUCGCUGAAUAUCUGGGAUCCAGCCUUGAACCACACAGCCUCACCAAACUUGACACCAUUACGGGCCAAGAGCUCGGGGAAAACACAUCCAAGAGCACCAAGCAUAGCCCAUCUGCAGUGGAUCACCUCGAGUUCACGGUUCUUGGCAAAGGUUUCUGGGUCUGCUGAAAGUCCAGCGGUGUCCCACCCGUAGUCACCGGGAAAUUCACCGGUCAAGUAGCUUGGAGACUCACCUGAGAAUGGACCCAAGUACUUGACACGGUCUGGCCCAUACCAUGGGCUGCCAGAUGAGGCUGGCUUGGAGACAGCCUUUCUCAUAGAGAUCCUUCCAUUUCCAGUGAUUUCUGAGGCAGAGGGUGAGAGUUUCACUGCCUGUCCAGCAAAAGAAGGUGAAGAAAGUGCCAUUGUAGAAGCUGCCAUGGCUUAUCAAGAGAAAAGUAAGUGUUUGAUGGUAUGAAAUAUUGUUGAAGUUGGCUGUGAUGAGGUGAAGUUAAUUACAAGGGGCUUCACCAUAUAUAGGAGGAGUAAGAGCGGUAGAGGCCUUUAUCUAACGAUAUCUACAUCUUUUUCUUUUGGUGUUAACGAUAUCUGUAUCUGUGAUCUCAUUGGGUAAUAAGAUCACAUGUGUAGAAAUUAAUGCACACUUGGCAAUCUCCAGACUCCAAUCCAUCAAUUUUCCAAGAUGUUUACUAAAAGGACCCAUCCAAUAUUGUCCGCCUUAGUGUGGCUACGAGGUUAUUGACUCUAUUCUGUGAUUCGUUGAGCUUACACUAAGAUAUCUCUUAUCGUUAUCUUUUGGGAAUUUCUCCAGAUUUUAUCCACCAGCUGGGAAUAAGUUACCACCACUAUAGCUCAUUCAAUGUAGAAGUAGAAGUUAGAACUAUGGUUUAGCGUUGCACUAAAUAAAUAGUAGAAAAGCUGAAUUUUUCAGAUUAUCAGUAACUAAUGUCUAUCAAAAGAUUAAUUUGAAGUAAUUGCUUAACAAGCAAAAGUGGAUCAGAAUUUGAACUUUCAUGGGUUCUGUAGUCUAGGACGAGUUCUACUAAAUAGAUUCCAAAUUUAACUUUUCUACAUACUCGCUCCGUCCCAUUUUACCCGUCCCAAAUUGGCUAAGUUGAUGUUUCAUUUUAGUUGUCCCAUUUUACUUAUCAAGAUAAGACAAACUUUUCUUUCCAUGUUUUACCCUUUGCAUUAAUUAUCUUUUCUUUAAAUUAAAAUGUAAACAUCAUUUAAUAGGGGUACUUGGGUAAACUAGCCAUGUUAUAUAUUAUUUUUCUUAAUUGUUGUGCCAUCCUAAUUUGGGACAAGUAAAAUGGGACGGAGAGAGUAUUUAAUAAGCUUAUCAAAACAUAUGCAUGGUUUGGGCCAAAGUUAGUUAGUUCUGUCAAACUGGUUUGCUGAAGGCUAUCUGCGCAUGUUAAUAAGUGAUAUGAUUGUGUUAUGUGCAAGUAUUUUUACAAUGUCAAUGCAUAACCUCUCUAUAGUGUCCUGUAUAGCUUGUAUCUUCUGCUUACAAUGUCCUUUUGGCUCUGGUCAUUGUUAUGUGAACGUGUUCUUCUCUAAAGAGAAUACCACAUGCACGUAAGGAUGGAGGACUAUACAAGAAACUCAUGAAUUUGUUCAAAUCUAAGAUGCUGCUUAAAUUAAGGACACAUAAGUAUAAUGGCCUGGAAACUCAUAUAUUACUUGCUACGUUCAAAAUACAAAACAUAUACAUUGGUUUUCCCCUUAUCAUUAAAAUGUCAAUGGUGUACGCAGUAGUGAAAUAAUAUUAUGUCCUCUUAAUUCAUCUCACUUCUCGACAGGAAAAUAAGGAAUCAUGUAAAUAACAUCAUGUUGUACAUUGUUAAUCGUGGCACUAAGAGUAUUGCUUCUUGAGAAUUAAUUGAAUUCCAUAAGUUCCUCUGGUCUGUAUAUUCAAAUUAUAAGCUUUUUGUCAAAAAACAAAGGGAGCGGUAGAGUUAAGCUACAAGGAGAAAAAUAUAAGGAAAUUGCAGCUGUAAAUUGCUACAAAAAAGACUGCAGUAAAGAACAAGAAGCUGAAACUUUUUGAGUGUUUUCUAUUUUUUGGAUAGUUAUAAAUGUCUAAUGUCAUCCCUUAUUUAUACUUAUGUAGGGAUGAUUCUAGAUACUACAAAUCUAGAGUGUUCGUAUACAAAUAUCUCCCUCAAAUAUCUAGCACCCUCUAGAUCUUUCCUAAAUAUAAAUAUCAAAUAUACUACACUAUUCCUUUCUAGAUUCUUCUAACUAGAAUUACCUAAAUAUCUAGAUAUUUCUUUAGCAUGAUCAUCCUAGAAAUUUUACUAGACUAUUCUACAGACUGAACUAGAAAUCUAUGAUUCCAAAAAAUCUACUUUAAUAUUUUCACACUCCCUCUUAAAGUGAUUUUUUUGGAAGCUAUCCUAAACUUGUUGCGGAAGAACUCAAGUGAAGCUUUGAACCGUACUUUAGUGAAAAUCUUGAUAGUUUUUGCAUGACUCCUCUUUCUUCUUCAAAUGAUGAAGAUUUCUCGUUAAUGAUUGGCCCUUGUUGAGUUUUAUCAUAUUGAGUUCUCGAGCUCCCCCUUUCUCUGAACUCCUCCGUAACUUCAUUAUCUGGUGACCCAAAUAUGAUGGAAAAGUUUGAAACUCUAGGAUUGAAGAUUUUAGAACUUACUCUUUCUGAAGCAACUCCAUAACACAAGAAUAAUUUUUUGGUAUCAACCUCCUUAUUUGAUUUGAUGACGAUCUUUUGUUCGGGCCUAUCAACUAGCUCCCAAGUAUUAUUUUUUUAUCAUGGCAAGCUCCUCAUCCAUUGCGGAAAUCCAAGUUUCAUGACUUCUGCUUCUUCAAAAGAAGAUGGUUCCACAAGAGCAAAAUUGCAUUGCUCAUAAACUUCAGGUAGUGACCUGGUCUUCAAAAUAGGAGAAUCUGAAGUUAAUUCAACAUCUGAAUUGUCUUCUUUUUCAAUAAGAGGAUUGGAAGAAAUAUUACACGUCUGUGGAUUUUGAGCUGCAACUGAAGUACACUCAUCUUGGUUCUUUACAACAAUAUCUCGAUCCUAAUCAUAGUGGCUAGACUCAUCCACCGCAAGAUCUCUACUGAUAAGCACCUUUUACGCACGAACAUUAUACACUUUCUACCCUUUUGCAGCUGUGUUAUAGCCCAACAAAAUACAAAGUCCUGCCUUGUUAUCCAAUUUACCUCUUUUAGCAUCAGGAACAUAUGCAUAACAGACUGAACCAAAAACUUUUAAGUGUCUCACAGAUGACUUUAUACCUUUCCAUGCUUUAAAUGGUGUCAUGUCUUGGAGUGCUCUAGUUGGUAAUAUGUUUAGUAAAUAGACUGCAGUACUGACUGCCUCAGCCCAAAAACAUUUGGGUAUCUUCUUUUCUGCUAGCAUACAUCUCACCAUCUCCAUCACGGUUCUGUUCUUUCUCUCAGAAAUACUGUUUUGUUCUGGAGUGUAGCUCACAGUAAAUUGUUGUUGAAUGCCCACAUCUUUACAAUACUUGUUGAACUAAUGCGGAGUAUAUUCAGUUUCAUUAUCUGACCUGAUAUACUUCAAUCGGCAACCACUCUUCCUUUCUACCAUAGCCUUGAAUUCUUUGAAAACAGAAAACACCUGAACUUUGUUACUUAAAAAUAGACCUAUGUCAUUCGAGUUAGAUCAUUUAUAAAGAGAAUAAAAUAUUUAUUCCCACUCAAAGAAGUUGUCCUCAUUGGUCUACAUAUAUUUGUAUGAACCAACUCUAGUUUUUCCUUCGUCCUCCAAAGACUUCUUUUAGGAAAGAAUUAUUUAUGCAAUUUACCAAAUUGACAUGACUCACAAACAUCUCGGCACAUGUCAAUUUUGGGUACAUCAAGCACCAUACCCUUGGAUUGCAUAUACACCAAUGAACUAAGAUUGUAAUGACCGAAUCUUUUGUGCCAAAGCCAAAUAUCAAUUAUUUCAACAUUGAAAGAGCAACUUUCAACAGAAUAGCAUGAAAUUGGAAAGGAAUUACCAAUCAUGCUAAUUUUAGCUACUUCACAACCUUUAGGAUCAUAAAUGACACAUUUUUUAUCCUUAAAAAUAAGUGAAUAAUUAUUGUGAAGUAACUGAGCAACACUCAACAAGUUUUGAGUCAAGCUUGGCACAUAAAAAACAUCGUUUAUGAUUUUCAUACCUUCGUCCGUAGGAAAUUUCACUGAUCCUCUUCCUUGAGCUUGCACCAGUGCACCAUCUCCUAGCUUCACUUUGAUCCUAUCAGACCUGUCCAGGCUAACAAAUAGAUUUUCAACAAUCGUCAUGUGCCUUGUGCACGCACUAUCGACAUGCCAAUUAUAUCGAUCGACAUGUGAUAUGUGUGAAGCCAUGAAUACCUCUUCCUCUAUUUUUUGAACUUGGUGAUCUUCCGCAAAAUUUACUCAUUGAAAAGACUGACCAAUUUGAGUUUGCUUUUGCCUGCAAUGCUUCUCAAUGUGCCUAUACUUCUUGCAGUAUCUGCAUUGAAUAGGAGACCUCUUGGACUUCUGCCAACAAUUUUUCUAUAAGUGGUUUGUCUUCUUACAAAUACCACAAGGUGGAAAUUUUUCUCUCCUCAACGAUUCACCUUGGUAUCCACCAGAUUUCACCUCUCCAGAGUGGUCUAAAAAGACUUUUUUGCCUUCUUUUUGUUGCUUGAAAGGCAUAUUCGACUGUUCCUUCGAUUCUCAUAGUUACCCAUUGCUCUUGGAUUUGCAAUUUAGAGAUCAACUCAGCUAUUGAAAGAAUAGUCAAGUCACAGGACUCUUUAAUAGCUGAGAAUUUGUAUUUAAACUUGUCUGGAAAGCUGACCAUAAUCCCCUUUAUAACCUUCUAAUCUAAAAAGUUUUCACCAAGUAUCCUUAUGUGGUUCACAAUAUCCAUUAGCUUAGAAGAGUAUUCUUUUACACUAUCCGGAUCCUUCAUCUUCAAGAGCUCAAACUCCCUCUUCAAAGCUAAAACCUUAACAGACUUAACUCUGUUGCUGCCUUCAAACUCCUUCUUUAGCUUAUCUCAGGCUUCUUUAGCUGUCUCACAAGCCAUAAUCCUUGUAAAUAUCACUUCCGUAAGGGUUGAAUGUAUGCAAGUGAGUGCUCUUGGAGAUCUAGUCACCAAUUCAUCAUACUUUUUGAUAUCAUUUAGAGUUGAGUUGUCUCUCAAUGGCUGGACAGCAGGUUCUCCUCUCUAAACAAUAUCCCACAAGUUGAGAGUCUUCAAAUAAGCCUUCAUUUUAAUGGUCCAAAUAUGAUAAUUCUCCCCCGAAAAAAUCGAAGGACCCAUUGUUGGUUGAUUUUCUGGUGCCAUGUUUUUUCAGUAAAUAGAUUCAAGAAAGGAGCUAAAAAUAAGAUGAGUCAAUCAACAAAAAACAUAUUCAGAUCCCGUAAGAAAUGGGCUCUGAUACCAUGUCAAAAAAUAAAGGAAACGGGGAGAGUAAAGCUACAAGGAGAAAAAUAUAAGGAAAUUGCAACUGCAAAUUGCUACAAAAAAGACUGCAGUGAAGAAGGAGAAGCUGAAACUUUUUUAGUGUUUUCUAUUUUCUAGAUAGUUAUAAAUGUCGAAUGUAAACCCUUAUUUAUUCUUAUGUAGGGACGAUUCUAGAUACUACUCCCUCCAUCCCAUUUUACCCGUCCCAAAUUGGGAUGGCACAGCUAUUAAGAAAACAAUGAUUGGUAAUGUUACUUUACCAUUUUUUCUCUCUUAAUUGUGUCUUGUUGUUAGUUCCAAUAUUGAUGGAUGACCAAUACAAAAGCACCAUUUAUAUUCUUAAUGGUGUACUCCUAAUGGUACUCUUCUUUGCAACGUUUUUCAAAAAUGUUAAUAACAAGGAGUAAGCAAUUACACUGAGGAUAAAAUGAAAAAAAAAGUUGUCUUAUCUUGAUAAGUAAAAAAGGACAACUAAAAUGGGACAUCAAAUUAGAAAAUUUGGGACGGGUAAAAUGGGACAGGGAGUACAAAUCUAGAGUGUUCUUAUACAAAUAUCUUCCUCAAAUAUCUAGCCCCCUCUAGAUUUUUCCUAAAUAUAAAUAUCAAAUAGACUACACUCUUCCUUUCUAGAUUCUUCUAACUAGAAUUACCUAAAUAUCUAGAUAUUUCUUCAACAUGAUUAUCCUACAAAUUUCACUAGACUAUUCUAGAGACUUAACUAGAAAUCUAUGAUUCCAAAAAAUCUACUUUAAUACCAUCACACUUUUACCACAUCCAAAAUGUAUCUUGGGUUUUUUUUUUUUUUGGCUUUGUCAUCGAUUUUUCUCCCCUUGAUAUGAAACUGGCAGUAUUUAUUCAUGCCAUUGGAAAAUGAAAUUCAGGACUACACAAUAACUGGAAUAUAAGAAAAAUCCAUUCUAUUGUCAAGUAAACUCACAACUACAACUUUACAAGGGCAUCAAACAAUGAAAUUUUAAGAUUGUUUUACGAUAUUCAUUUUCCGGGGACAAAGUUUGUGGCGUAGGCCCAUGCGUUGUUGUUAACUGGAUCUGCAAGGUGGUCAGCGAGGUUCUCCAAUGGACCCUUUCCGGUAACAAUGGCCUGAACAAAGAAUCCAAACAUAGAGAACAUAGCAAGUCUACCGUUCUUGAUCUCCUUUACCUUGAGCUCAGCAAAUGCCUCUGGAUCAUCAGCAAGACCUAAUGGGUCAAAGCUGCCACCAGGGUACAAUGGGUCGACUACCUCACCAAGAGGCCCACCAGCAAUACGGUAACCUUCAACGGCUCCCAUCAAGACAACUUGGCAAGCCCAGAUGGCCAAGAUGCUCUGUGCAUGAACUAAGCUUGGGUUGCCCAAGUAGUCAAGUCCACCCUCGCUGAAGAUUUGGGAUCCAGCCUUGAACCACACAGCCUCACCAAACUGGACACCGUUACGGGCCAAGAGCUCGGGGAAAACACAUCCAAGAGCACCAAGCAUAGCCCAUCUGCAGUGGAUCACCUCGAGUUCUCGGUUCUUGGCAAAGGUUUCUGGAUCUGCUGAAAGUCCAGCGGUGUCCCACCCGUAGUCACCAGGGAAUUCGCCGGUCAAGUAGCUUGGGGGCUCACCCGAGAAUGGGCCCAAGUACUUAACACGGUCUGGGCCAUACCAUGGGCUUCCAGAUAGGGCAGGCUUGGAGACAGCCUUUCUCAUAGAGAUCCUUCCAUUUCCACUGAUUUCUGAGUUAGAGGGUGAAAGUUUCACUGCCUGUCCGGCAAAAGAAGGGGAAGAAAGAGCCAUUGUAGAAGCUGCCAUGGUUUAUCUCAAGAGAAAGGAGAGUAUUUGCUGGUUUGAAAUAUUGUUGAAGUUGGCUGUGAUGAGAUGAAGUUACAAGGGGCCUCACUUUACCAUAUUAUAGCAAGUAAGAGGGGAAGAGUCCUUAUCUAGUGAUAUCUAUUUCUAUGAUCUCAUUGGGUAUCAAGAUCCUUUGUCUAGCAAUUAAUGCACACUUGGGUAUCUCCAAUCCAUCAAUUAUCCAAGAUGUUUGCUAAGGGGACCCAUCCAACAUAGUCCUCUCACAUGUGGCUACAAGGCUUGAACAAUAUUCUGUGAUUUGCUGAACUUACAAUGCUGAUAUCUCUUAUCAUAAUCCGUUGAGAAUUGCUCCAGAUUUUAUUUAUCAGCACUACAGCUCAUUCGAGGUAGAACUAUGGUUUACCGUUUCACUAAUUAUAUUCAGGAAAGUUCAUUACUUGAUAUAUAAAUUGUGUAAAAAUUAAUAAUACAUGUUUGGAACUUUAUUAUAUAAGACCUUAAUAUAUAGUAAUAUAAGAGUCAGUAGCAUAGUAAAUUAUUUAACCUGCAAUUCAUAUAAAAGUGAAGAUACUGUUUUGGGGGUUUUACAAAUUUAAUAUUUACAGGUGCAUGCAAAGCAAGAAUAUGAUCUUCCCUUUCAAAACAUUUAACAUAGGUUCAUGCUUGGAUCUUUAUUAAUCUGAUCAUGAAGAGGUAUAUUAAGUUCUAUAUAUGUUGCACUGUUAAUUUCAUGUUUAGAUAUUUAAUGACGGGUUAGAUUCAUUUUAACUACUGCACAGUGCUUAGACUAAUUGGAAAGAACUUGUUCAUGAGCGGGGGUUGGCAAACGGGCGGGUUGACUCAGAUAUAAACAAAUCAAAAAUGAGCCAACAAAAAUGGAUAAAAUAUCCGACCCACCUGUAUUUGAUAUGGAUGAAAAAUGAGAAACCAACGGGAUAUUAUUUCAUAUUAUGUAAAAGAAAUAAGUACUUCCAAUAUGAGAAAGGCAGAGUAUGUACAUGGAUUAAUUAAUUAAUUGGGAUUCACCAGCAGCACAAUAUGACCAAUUAAUUGUGUUAAGGGCAGGAACAUUUGCCAAUAAUGGAUCAGGUUAUUUACGGGUUUGGAUAAAAGGAACUUUAACUUGACACCAAAUUAUAACUAUGUGCUUUUAACUUUGUUAGUACACAAGUAGACCCUUUAACUAUAUAAAAAUCAAAUAAAAAAAUAGUCUAAUUCAGCAACUUACAUGCGUAAAAUUCAAUCACUCCUACGUGGAUUAAUAAUCCACUCAGAUGCUGCCACCUAAUAAAAAAGACGCAUUAUAACUAUGAUCAUUAACUUUGCGCACAAAUAGACGCUUUAAUUAUACAAAAGCUGAAAAAAAAAACACUUCAAUUUUAACUCUGACGCUCGUGAUUUUGAGUGUAUACAUGCAUUUUGCCAGGUUACGAUUGGAGUGUUUGUUUGUUCAACUUUUGUAUUGUUAAAGGCCUACUUGUACAUUGAUAAAGUUAAAGAUCAUAGUUAUAAUUUGAUAUCAAGUUACAUGUUUAUGUACUGAGUUUAAGUUCUGUGCACCGUCAGUGCACAAAAUAUUUUAUACUAUCAGUUAACUUGACCUGCUAUUGCAGGUUACCCAAUUAUUUAUAUAAAAAUUUAAAAAUAAAAAAUUGUUAUUGCAGGUUACCCAAUUAUUUAUAUAAAAAUUUAAAAAUAAAAAAUUAGAUAACCUGCAAUAGCAAGUCAAGUUUACCUAAUAGGAUAGAAUAUUUUGUACACUGAUGGUGCACAAAACUUAAAAAUUUAGGUAUUAUGCCUAUUUACAACUUAUGGAGUAAAUAUAAGUUGUAAAUAUUCUCUUUUUUCACACAGUAAUUUUUAACUUGUAAUAGCUGAUAAGUCCCCGUUGUUACAAGAAACUUUAAGAUUUUUUCCAAAGAUGCAUCAAAUUAAGGACAUAAUUAUAAUGGUCUGGAAACCUAUAUUAUAGCAUGUUGAUUACUACUUGCUAUACCUUCAGACUACAAAACAUAUUGGUUUUCACUUAACAUUGAAAUGCCAAUGGUCUAUAUGGUAGUGAAAUAAUAUUAUGUCCUCUUAAUUGCUCUUUCACUUCCCGAUAGGAAUCACGUAACAACAUCUAUGCUCAACAUUUCUCUGUGCACUAUUCUCUGUGCACUAAUUUAAUGUGUUCCUUCCUGGGAAUUAAUUGAAUUCCAUAACUUCCUGUGGUCAGUAAACUUAAGUUUGAAGCUUAUAACAGCUUUAUAGUUAUUCUAGUUACCACGUCUCAUAUUAAUCUACAGUUUUUCUUUACUAUGUUCUCUUUCUUUAAUUCCCCUUUAGUAUGAAAGUGGCAAAAAAUUUUAUUCAUGACUUUGGAGAAUGUAACUCAGAACUACACAAUUAUUGGAAUAUGAGACAAAAAUCCAUUCUAUUGUCAAGUAACUGCUCAUAACAACUUUACAAGACCAUCAAACAAUGAAAUUUUAAGAUUGUUUUACGAUAUUCAUUUUCCGGGAACAAAGUUUGUGGCGUAGGCCCAGGCAUUGUUGUUAACCGGAUCUGCUAGGUGGUCAGCAAGGUUCUCCAAUGGACCCUUUCCUGUAACAAUGGCCUGAACAAAGAAUCCAAACAUAGAGAACAUAGCAAGUCUACCGUUCUUGAUCUCCUUUACCUUGAGCUCAGCAAAUGCCUCUGGAUCAUCAGCAAGACCCAAUGGGUCAAAGCUGCCACCAGGGUAUAGUGGGUCGACUACCUCACCAAGAGGCCCACCAGCAAUACGGUAUCCCUCAACGGCUCCCAUCAAGACAACUUGGCAAGCCCAGAUGGCCAAGAUGCUCUGUGCAUGGACCAAACUUGGGUUGCCCAAGUAGUCAAGUCCACCCUCGCUGAAUAUCUGGGAUCCAGCCUUGAACCACACAGCCUCACCAAACUUGACACCAUUACGGGCCAAGAGCUCGGGGAAAACACAUCCAAGAGCACCAAGCAUAGCCCAUCUGCAGUGGAUCACCUCGAGUUCACGGUUCUUGGCAAAGGUUUCUGGGUCUGCUGAAAGUCCAGCGGUGUCCCAACCAUAGUCACCAGGGAAUUCACCGGUCAAGUAGCUUGGGGGCUCACCAGAGAGUGGGCCCAAGUACUUAACACGGUCUGGGCCAUACCAUGGGCUGCCAGAUGAGGCAGGCUUGGCAACAGCCUUUCUCAUAGAGAUCCUUCCAUUUCCAGUGAUUUCUGAGGCAGAUGGUGAGAGCUUCACUGCCUGUCCGGCAAAAGAAGGGGAAGAAAGAGCCAUUGUAGAAGCUGCCAUGGCUUAUCUCAAGAGAAAGGUAAGUGUUUGAUGGUAUGAAAUAUUGUUGAAGUUGGCUGUGAUGAGAUGAAGUUACAAGGGGCCUCACUUCACCAUAUUAUAGUAAGUAAGAGGGGAAGAGUCCUUAUCUAGUGAUAUCUAUUUCUAUGAUCUCAUUGGGUAUCAAGAUCCUAUGUGUAGCAAUUAAUGCAUACUUGGGUAUUUCCAAUCCAUCAAUUUUCCAAGAUGUUUGCUAAAGGGACCCAUCCAACAUAGUCCUCUCACAUGUGGCUACAAGGAUUGAACAAUAUUCUGUGAUUUGCUGAACUUACAAUGCUGAUAUCUCUUAUCAUUAUCCGUUGGGAAUUUCUCCAGAUUUCAUUUAUCAGCACUACAGCUCAUUCGAUGUAGAACUAUGGUUUACCGUUUCACUAAAUAUAUUCAGGAAAGUUCAUUACUUGAUAUAUAAAUUGUGCGGAAAUAAAUAAUACAUGCUUAUGUUUGGAAAGAAAUGCGUUUGGAACUUAAUUAUAUAAGACCUGAAUAUAUAUAAGCAAGAGUCAGUAGCAUAGUAAUUAUUUACCUGCAAUUCAUAUAAAAGUGAAGAUACUGUUUUUUGGGGUUUUACAAAUUUAAGAUUGACAAGUGCAGGCAAUGAAAGAAUAUGAUCUUCCUUUUCAAAAUAUUUAACAUAGGUUCAUGCAUGUAUAUUUAUUAAUCUGAUCGUGAAGAGGUAUAUAAAGUUCUAAAUAUGUUGCACUGUUAAUUUCAUGUUUAGAUAUUUAACGACGGGUUAGAUUCAUUUUAACUACUGCACAAUGCUUAGACUAAUUGGAAACGCGCAGAUUGAGUCGGAUAUGGACAGAUCAAAAAUGAGCUAGUGAAAAUGGAUAAAAUAUCUAAUUCACCCGUAUUGAUAUGGAUGAAACAUGAGAAACCAACGGAUAAUAUGGAUAUUAGUUCAUAUUAUGUAAAAGAAUAAGUACCUCCAAUAUGAGAAAGGCAGAGUAUGUACAUGGAUUAACUAAUUAAUUGGGAUUCAUCAGCAUCACAAUAUGACCAAUUAACUUUACGAGAAUUGUGUUAAGGGCAAGAGCAUUUGCCAAUGAUGGAUCAAGUUAUUUACAUCUUAUGCCUUAUGGUGUAAAUAUAAGUUGUAUAUAUUUUCUUUUUGGCAUGAUACACAAAUAUGAUCCUAAACUUAUAUCAAAUUAUAACUUUGACCUUAAACUUUGAUAGUGCACAAAUAGGACCUUUAACUAUUCAAAAUUUGAACAAAUAUGACCUCCGAUUUUGCAACCUCCAUGCGCGAGUUUCACUCGCGCCUAUGUGGAAAGCUCAUCAAUCACACGGUGCCACGUCGUUAAAAGGGCUGACUUGGAGGGAGGUCAUAUUUGUGCAAUUUUGAAUAGUUAAAGAUCAUAUUUGUGCACUGUCAAAGUUUUGCUUUUUGUGUUAAAACAACGUUGUUUUAUUAUUAUUAUUAUUAUUAUUAUUAUUAUUAUUAUUAUUAUUAUUAUGAAUAUUACUAUUUAUUUUUUUAAUUUUAUUUAUUUAUUUCUAUAGCAGCUAGGGGUGGGCGUUCGGUAUUCGAUAUUCGGUUCGGUAUUUUCAAAUUUCGGAUUCGAUAAUUUGGUAAUUGGUAUUUGAACGUAGAUACCAUAUACCAUACUAAUAAAUAUCGAUUCGGUAAUCGAUAAAUUAAAUUUCGGUUCAGUACGGUAUUUGGUAAUACCAUAUUAAAAUUGAAGAUGUGCAAAUAUACAUUUAAACUUCAAAGAGUAUAUUUAAAAGAAACCCUAUUUAGCAUUAUUUUGUUGCUUUUUACGAAUAUAUUAUCAAGGUCUAAGAGAUUCUUUGAGAUGACUAAUACUAUUGUUUAUUGGGUUGGUUAGACAUAUAGUAUAUAUAUAUAUAUAUAUAUAUAUAUAUAUAAUUCGGUAUUCGGUAUUUACCGAAUACAAAACGGUAUUAAUAUCUUGUACCAAAUUCAAUCCCGAAAUAUUAAAAUUUUAUUCUCAAAUACCAUACCAAAUACAAAAUUUUUUGAUUCGGUUCGGUAAUUCGAUUUUCGGUAUUUUAUGCCUAGCCCUAAUAGUAACAACACCUAACUUUUUUUAAUUAAAAAAAAAAAACCACUAGCAGGGAUCGACCCCACGCAGUAGGUUGAAGGAAGCACCCAAGAAGAGCAAAUAACACCACUGGAUUAUCUAAGUGCAAUGUUUCAUGUGGUUCAACAUUAAUAUACGUACAUAAAUAUAGAUUAUCUACCUUAUAUAUACAACAUAAUUUUUUUACCGAGGGGGUUCGGGUGAAUCCCAUGGCGACCACGUAGGUCCGCCCCUGCGUUAAUUUAAUAACGUUAAUUUAAUAACAUUUUAAUAACGUUAAUUUAAUAUACUACUAUUAUUAUCUUUAAUAACGUUAAUUUAAUAACAUUUUAUUAAAACUAUAAUUUUUUUAUUAUUAGUAUAGUUUCAUCUUUAAUUUAAUAUUUAAAUAAAUUAUAUUUCGAUAUAUUAUAUAACAUAAAUUCUCCCUCUGCUUUAUAAUAUGUAUAUAUACCCGCAAUUUUUUCGUAUGAGGCUAACCCACUUAAUUAAUAAAUCUUCAAUAUUGCACUUUUUCCGCAAUGACAAAAGAAAUUGAAUGUCAUUUUCAUCUUUGAGCUGAAAAUAAUGAAAAAUAAUAGUGAAAAGUCAUUUAAAGAUUAUAUUUGUGCAGUUUUGAAUAGUUAAAAGCCACAUUUAUGCACUCUCAAAAUUUAAGGUCAAAGUUAUAAUUUGGUGUCAAGUUUAGAAUCACAUUUAUGUAUUAUGUCCUUAGAUUUUAAACAGGACGCGCCCAAUUUUGCAUGUUGAACACGCAUUUUACCACAUAGGACCGAAGGUUAUAUUUAUGUAAUUUUAAAUAGUUAAAAAUUAUAUUUUUGCACUAUCAAAAUUUAAGGUUAAAAUUAUAAUUUGAUGUUAAAUUUAAGGCUUUAUGUAUUAUGCCUUUCUUUUUUCACACCAUCAUUAAAUUUUAAGUUGUAAUAGUAGAUAAGUCACCAUUGUUACACGAAACUUUUAGAUUUUUUCCAAAGAUGUUAAUCAAACCAAGGACAUAAUUAUAAUGGCCUGGAAACUUAUAUUAUAGCAUUUUAAUUACUACUUGCUAUACCUUCAGACUACAAAACAUAUUAGUUUUCACUUAUCAUUGAAAUGUCAAUGGUCUAUAUGGUAGUGAAACAACAUUAUGUUCUCUCAAUUGCUCUUUCACUUCUCUACUGGAAACAUAUAAUAACAUCAUAUUGCUCAACAUUUCUCUUUGCACUAAUUUACUGUGUUCCUUCCUGAGAAUUAAUUGAAUUCCACAAGUUGCUGUGGUCAGUAAACCUAAGUUUAAAGCUUAUAACAGCUUUAUAGUUUUUCUAGUUAUCAUAUCUCAUAUGUAUCUACCAUUUUUCUUUACUAUGUUCUCUUUCUUUAAUUCCCCUUUGAGAUGAAAGGGGCAAAAAAUUUUAUUCAUGGCUUUGGAAAAUGUAACUCAGAACUACACAAUUAUUGGAAUAUGAGAAAAAAAUCCAUUCUAUUGUCAAGUGACUGCUCAUAACAACUUUACAAGACCAUUAAACAAUCAAAUUUUAAGAUUUUCAUUUUCCGGGGACAAAGUUUGUGGCGUAGGCCCAGGCGUUGUUGUUAACUGGAUCUGCAAGGUGGUCAGCAAGGUUCUCCAAUGGACCCUUUCCAGUAACAAUGGCUUGAACAAAGAAUCCAAACAUAGAGAACAUAGCAAGUCUACCGUUCUUAAUCUCCUUUACCUUGAGCUCAGCAAAUGCCUCUGGAUCAUCAGCAAGACCUAAUGGGUCGAAGCUGCCACCGGGGUAGAGUGGGUCGACGACUUCACCAAGAGGCCCACCAGCAAUACGGUAUCCCUCAACGGCUCCCAUCAAGACAACUUGACAAGCCCAGAUGGCCAAGAUGCUCUGUGCAUGAACCAAGCUUGGGUUGCCCAAGUAGUCAAGUCCACCCUCGCUGAAGAUCUGGGAUCCAGCCUUGAACCACACAGCCUCACCAAACUGGACACCGUUACGGGCCAAGAGCUCGGGGAAAACACAUCCAAGAGCACCAAGCAUAGCCCAUCUGCAGUGGAUCACCUCGAGUUCCCGGUUCUUGGCAAAGGUUUCAGGGUCUGCUGAAAGUCCAGCGGUAUCCCACCCAUAGUCACCAGGGAAUUCACCAGUCAAGUAGCUUGGGGGCUCACCAGAGAAUGGGCCCAAGUACUUAACACGGUCUGGACCAUACCAUGGGCUGCUAGAUGCGGCUGGCUUGGAGGCAGUCUUUCUCAUGGAGAUCCUUCCAUUUCCAGAGAUUUCUGAGUCAGAUGGUGAGAGCUUCACUGCCUGUCCGGCAAAAGAAGGGGAAGAAAGAGCCAUUGUAGAAGCUGCCAUGGUUUUUCUCAAGAGAAAGGUAAGUGUUUGAUGGUAUGAAAUAUUGUUGAAGUUGGCUGUGAUGAGGUGAAGUUAAUUACAAGGGGCUUCACCAUAUAUAGGAGGAGUAAGAGCGGUAGAGGCCUUUAUCUAACGAUAUCUACAUCUUUUUCUUUUGGUGUUAACGAUAUCUGUAUCUGUGAUCUCAUUGGGUAAUAAGAUCACAUGUGUAGAAAUUAAUGCACACUUGGCAAUCUCCA
Molecule: long non-coding RNA, 87524 nt
Filed under: Capsicum annuum
Lineage: Eukaryota; Viridiplantae; Streptophyta; Magnoliopsida; Solanales; Solanaceae
Description: long non-coding RNA (CANN_LNC021999)
Source: RNAcentral